RNAcentral lists this long non-coding RNA (49902 nucleotides) under Citrus maxima (pomelo). RNAcentral describes it as "long non-coding RNA (CMAX_LNC002244)". Lineage: Eukaryota; Viridiplantae; Streptophyta; Magnoliopsida; Sapindales; Rutaceae. The record is from RNAcentral.
GCCGGUAUGCUCGUGAGCUUAGGGGAAAAUCUCAGCUGGAUUCCCUGAGAAUUCAACAUAGUCAAGGCUAGUAUAAGUUUAAUUCGGAUAACUAAAGAGUUUGGUACAAAAACUCUGAAGCAGCUCGCUAUUAAGAUUGUGCGUGGAACUGAAAAUAAGAAAUAAGUUCUAUGAAUACUGUGGAAUAACCUGCUAUGCUAGGGUCGAUCUGUUUCUAAUAGCUCUAUCAUUUGAUAUACUGAAAAGACCAUGUAAUAAUCUUAAGAAUUGCAGACUUAUGCCUGGAAUCUUCCGAUGAUAUAUAGGGGUGCUUAUAUCAGAUCAGUAUCUUUCUUUCUUGAAGUAGAAUUUUUGCAUACCUGACUUGUUUUUAAUGAGAUUUCAAGGACUAUAUGACUUGGUUUCCAAAUUUUUAUGAUACAUACAGAUAAUAUUACCACAGAACCAGUGUAGUUUCUGUAUGAGCCGUUAUAGAUUUCAGUUAAUAGUAACAAGUUUUUGAUUAUUAACAACAAUGUUGUCCUUCCACGUCUUAAAUAUUCCAUUCCAUAACACACAUUGUGACGAAUACAUAACUUGUUACCACUAACGAAAAUUUUUGCCAUCAAUAGCUGAAAAUAGCUGUUAGUUACACAAGCUGCAAAGCUAUAACUUUGGAUUUCAUAUUCAGAUUCUCUCUCAAAGUUGAACUUGGAACUACGGUUGAUGAUCUGCUAUUAUGCUGAGAAAACUACAAGAUUUUGAUUGGUUGUCAUCAGACAAUGUAAAAGAAAUUAGCAUGGUAUCCAAAUUCUUAAGAGUUUGAGAAGACAAUGCACUAUCUUUUUUAUAAUUCGCAGCAGACAGCAAUACAACAGCAGACUGCAACUGUCAUAUUCACAAAAUAUCUAUGGGCCAACCCUAGACCCGCAAUGGUGGAUUAGUCUCGCACAAGGCCACAGCAAAUAAUGACUUGUUGAAAAUAAUACAUUUUCAACAUUUGCUUUGUCAAUAAAACUCUGGAGCAUUAUUGUUGAGAGAAUUUGUGGAACAAAAAGAAGGCCAAGUUCGGAGGUUCUCUGCCUGUGCCUUGUGUUCAAGAGUUGGCCAAUAAUUCUAUGUUAGCUAUCCCUCCCAGAUACAUACGACCAGGCCAAGAUUUAACCACAAUUUCUGAUAAUAAUUUGGAUUCACGGCUAUUGCAGAGCUUGUUUUCUGAAGAGUCAACGGAUUCUGAGUUGUCCAGGCUCCACUUCGCUUGCAAAGAAUGGGCUUCUUUCCAGGUAAACUCCUUUGCCAAGUUAUUAUUAUUUUGCUUUUAAAGGAUUUGCUUGGGAUGAGACCUCAUCUACUAAAUACCACCCUUUGUCCCAUAUUGUUACUCGAGAGCAGAUAUCUGCAAAUUGCGAAUUACAUUCACAACCAGCUAAGCUACACCUGCCGUGAGGCACCCAAGUUUGUAUUUUUUUCCUUUGGACAUGCUUGGUUUAUUAAUAGUAGUCUGGCGUCAAGAAUUAAGAAAUCUGUAUACUCUCAAUCAAAGAGCACAGUCGAUCAAAUUCAGAUUAGAUUGUGUUUCAUUCUUAUAGGUCAAGUAGGCCACAAAUUUGGCCUACUCUGUAUCAAUGCUUUCUUACUCUGUAAGUUAGCAAUAAGAAAGCUCUAACAAAAUUUGAGUCUAGAUAGUCUUAACCAAGCCGGUUUAAGCACCCUUUUUUUUUAAAAAAAAAAAAAUUGUGGGAUGUAACUGACCUUGUCCGAUUAUGGACCACCUAACUUGCUUUCUUGUAUAGCUGAGAAGACAAACCUGCAUUCUUGAAAAUUAAAUUGUCUUUAAUAUCUUUCGGAUGUCUAGGCUUACGGUAGCUUGCGAAGAACUAUAAGCAAAUUUAUGAUGUAGUAUAAUGCAAAUGCGAUUCUAUUAGUUUAUUGAAAUCUAACAAAUAUGGAAGGAUUUGGACAAGCAUUUGUUAUAUCCGAGGAACAAAAGGUUGAUUGGAUUGACAUUUUCUUCAUGACAACUCUUCCAAUUCAUCUGAGGAAACCCCACUUGUUUCCUAAGCUCCCUCUUUACCCCUUAGAUUUCUCUCUCUCUCGUCAGUUAUUUGAUGGUUGCAAAUGUAUUAGGUUCAGAGAAAGAUCCCAAGUCAGUUAUAUUUAGUAAAAUUUGACAAUCAAACAUGAUUUUGAAAGAAUACUGUUAAAUAAUAACUUACUUAACAAUCCACCACAAUCAUAUACUAAACCUUCUAAUUGCGUCUUCUUUUUUCUUAUAGGAAAUCUUGGAAUUUAUUCAGCGGAGUUAAAAAUCUCUGGCCAUGAACGUGGUAUCGAAAAUGGGAAAAGUUCUAAAUAUCAAAGAUGAAGAAUUGAGAGAAUACUUUGAAAAUGGUUUCCAAUCAAUGGGGAUGAACUAUUACCCUCCAUGUCCUCAGCCGGAGAAGGUUGUGGGCCUCACAACUAAUUCUGAUGACUCUGUUCUUACCAUGCUGCUGGAAAUCAAUGAAGUAGAAGGUCUCCAGAUCAAGAAGGAUGGAAAGUGGAUUCCUGUUACACCUGUCCCAAAUGCUUUCGUUGUCAACAUUGGAGUCGUGUUGGAGGUGAUAAGUUAUUUUAACUUGACAUUCAUAUGAGCUAGCUAAUGUGUGCUUUCAUUAAUUCCCGUUGCUCCACUCCCUAAUGCUUUCAUUGUCGACAUUGGAGACACACUGGAGGUAAUAAUUAUAGUAAAUUACUUAACUUGGCAUUUAUAUGAGCCUGCUCAUGUGCUUUAAUAAUUUUUACAUGGCAGAUUGUAACCAAUGGGACAUACCGUAGCAUUGAGCAUCGUGUAAUUGUAAACUCUAUACAAGGAAGGCUUUCCAUUAGCACAGUUUACUUAGUGAUAUAUGAUGGUGAAAUGUACCCUACGUCCAAUUUGGUCUCUGAAAAUAAUCCUCUAUUGUUUAAAAGAGUGACAGUUGAAGAAUACUUUAGGAACCUGUGUGCUCGUAAGCUUAGGGGAAAAUCUCCUCUGGAUGCCUUGAGAAUUGAACAUGUUCAAGACUAGUAUAAGUUUAUUUUGGAUAACUAAAGAGUGUAGUACAAAAACCGUGGGGGACCUUGCUAUUGCAAUUUUGUGUGGAGCUAAAAAUAAGCAAUAAGUAUACGAAUAAUAAAUCCUUUGGUGAAAAUUAUCACCUAAAUUUAGGAAUAUACACGUUCUAUCACCAAAAAUCAAUAACAGAAUAUACGACAGCAUACCUAAGAUCAUAAUGCACAAUUUGUCUCUAGAGUCUAGUAGUUUGUCUUCCAAAUUAACAUGUUCUCCUAGAGAAUCCUUUAAAAUUCUCUGUGCACUCUCUCUAAUGAUGAGAUGUCAACAGAGAAUAGAACGAUACGUGUGACCUAGGGACAAUAACUACUUAUAUAAACAAAUUUUUCUUUUGUCUUUAUGUAUUCUUAUUCCAACCCAUCAUGGAAAUAGAAAAUAGUCUUAAGUCUCUGUACAUUAAAGGCCUACAAUUGAUUAGAUACAUUAAAGCCCAAAUUAUCGAAAACUUUAAUAGAUCAUUUUUAAUUUGCCUUAAACUUAUAUAAUAGUUCACAACAUAUAAUUAUUCACAUAUAAGCCCAACAUUGGAUCAAUGAUCUAACAAUGCUAGAUUAAAGAUCCAACAACCUUUCACUUGGGCUAUAUAUGUAACCUUAUAAUUAUACUUUGCAAAAAUAACCAUAUGAGCUCAAUUUUACUGUCAUUACUAAAAUGUAUCUAUAGUCAAUUCGGUCCAUCAAUCAUACCAACAAAGGAUCAAAACGACCUUUGUUACAACUAUCGUAACUUGACCCAUCAAUGCGCACUAUGCCAAUAUAGCUGAAUGACAUAGAUCAUGAUAUGGGCGUGUAGGAUGGAAAUUUCAUGUAAUGUGAUCUUAACAUGCCUAUUUCCAAUUGAUCCACCUUAAACUUUAGUGAGAUCAAAUUAUAUAAAAAUUAGAGUGUGAAUGAAUAAACCAAAACUUUAUUUCUGCAGAAAAUAACCUUAAAUAUCCCUAAACCGAAAAAUGUUUAUAUCAUAAGAACAUUUAAAAGUUACAAAAUCCCAUUAAAAAUGAAUAUCCUUUAAUGACACGACACCUAUAUGAACAGUGUGCCUACGAAAAAUUUUAGAUGGUAUUCCCUUAGUAAGCGGAUCCGUGAUCAUGGAUUUUGUACCAUUAUGCUUUAUAGACAAUUUUCCACUCUAAAUUCUUUAUUUAACAACUAGGAACUUGAUGUUUAUAUACUGUGACUUCGUCGAGCUCCUAUUGUUAUUGGAAUAUAGCACUGCUAACUUAUUGUCACAUAAUAACUUGAGUGGUCUAUCAAUACCAUCUAAAAUGUGUAACUCUGUGACGUAAUUCCUCAGCCAUAUUCUGUGAUUGGAUGUCUCGUUACAUGCUAUGAACUUUGCUAUUAUAGUAGAAGAGGCUAUAAGAGACUGCUCAACAGAUGUGGCUCGCUCUAAAAGAUAAGUUCAGUGGCACUUCGACUACUAAAUUGAGAAGGCUGAUGAUCAAGUUUGAUUCUUAUUGGAAUUGCCAAAAUCAUAUUAUGAGGCAGCAUCUAAGGGAGAUGUCAAACAUGAUUUGCGAACUUAAGGCUGCUGAACAUAUUUUGACUGAUGAACAAUAAGUCCAGGAAGUAAUAAGAUCUUUACUUGAUUCUUGGGUGCACAUGAUGGUGAAUAUGACUCACAAUGAAAGUAUUAGAACUUUCAAUGACAUAGAACAUCACCUAGAAUUAGAAGUAAAACGCCUUGAGGCAACUAAGCUUUUUGAUCGUGUUUAUUUGACCGAAUCAAAUUCGCACAAAGCUUCAAGCUUCAAGUGCAAAAGGGUCAUAAUUAUAACCAGAAUGGUGAGAAAUCUGAUCCUAAGAAGAGGAAUUUAGAUGCUAAGAAGCGCCCAAGGGGUAGACGCACUGACAAGAACAAUGACAAAUCUAAGAUGAAAUACUAUAAUUGUAGUGAGCCGGGUCACUUUGCUCGCGAGUGCACUGAGCCCAACUCCACUUUAUUAAAUUUUGUGUUAGUUAUGAGUUAUGUACUCCUAAUUGAUUCUCGUCCUAUGUAGACUGUAGACUCAGGAUCAACAGACUAUAUAGCUCGUGAUCAAAAUGCGUUUGUAGAGUAUCAUCAAAUUAGUCAAGGGACUAGAUGGAUAUACAUGGGCAACAACUCCAGAGUUGAAGCAAAAGAAAUAGACACCUACAAAUUGACUUUGCAUGGUGGAUGUAUUCUUUUAUUACACGAUGUCCUAUAUGCACUAGAGAUUCGACAAAACUUAGUUUCUGUUCCCAUUCUUCUUGAAUUAGGAUAUAAUUUAAACUUUUAUGAUUUUUUUUUGGAGAUUUUCUUAAAUUUAGUCCUUAUUAGAACUGACAUUUCGUUAAUGGUUUUAUUAUAUUAGAUACAAUACUUGAUAAUUCAAGUUAUGAUAAUAAUUGUUUUUCAUAUGCUACUUCUUUAAGUAAUAAUAAGAUAGAUGUUAUUACUUGGCAUGCUUGAUUAGGUCACAUAGGGCAAAAAAGAAUGAAUAGACUUACGAGAAAGGGCAUAUUGAGUUUACUUACCAAGGUUGAAUUGCCCAUAUGUGAGAAUUGUUUAGCUGAAAAAACAAUUAGAAAACCAUUUGACAAAGGAAUUAGAGUUGAAAAAUCAUUACAAUUAAUCCAUUCUGACAUCUGUGAUACAAUGAAUGUAAGGGCUAAACAUGGAGCCUCAUAUUUUAUAACAUUCAUUGAUGAUUAUUCAAGUUUCGGUCAUGUCUACUUGAUUUCUUAUAAAUCAGAAGCAUUGAAUUGCUUUAGAUUAUAUCUAAACAUGGUAGAGAAUCAACUAGAUAGUAAUGUUAAAGUUCUAAGGACUGACUGAUGACAUGAAUACCUUUCAAAGUAGUUCAAGGACUUGUGUAAUGAGAAAUGAAUAAAUAGACAACUGACUAUUUUUGGAACUCUGUAACAAAAUGGCAUGGCGGAAAGAAGGAAUAUAAUUUUUUUAGAAAUGGUUAGGUCAAUAAUGGCACACUCAAAUAUUCCAAUAUCAUAUUAGGGAGAUGCAUUGUUAACUACUGCCUAUAUAUUUAACCUAGUUCCUUCAAAAUCAGUUAGUUAUUCUCAUAUGAGUUAUAGACGGCUAAGAAACCUGACCUAUUUCAUUUGUGACCUUGGAGGUCUGUAGCUUAUGUUUAUAACUCCAUUCAUAAGUUUGGGAAAUUAGGAGAUAGAAGCAAAAAGCGUAUCUUUAUUAGAUACUCAGAACACUCCAAACGAUAUGUGUUCAUUGGUGAACAUGAAAGUGGAUUUUUAACUGAACUGGAAUCAUAGGAUGUUGAUGACUCUAUGAAAUGAAGUUAUCAUUAUAUUUCUAGACUUAAAUCAAGAUUUCUUAAAGAGUAAAUAAUGUCUUUCUAUUACUUUUUAAUGAUAUUUUGCAUUAACAUCCGUUUUAGUUUAAUUCUAGUAAAUUUUGUUUGGUUUCGAAUAAUCGUGUGCUUAAAUCAUAUACGCAAGUGUGGGUAAUUGGAAGUUUGAAUUUCAAGGACAAGAUGUUGUUGCAAUGAGCUUGCAAAAUGAAUGAAAGAACAUGGCUGUAGAAGAAUUAAAACAAGUCUGGAACAAUGCAGAUGUUGCAGACAUUGUUGUAGCAAUGUUAGAGCAUUGAUAGAGAAGAUUUCAUGUGAGGCACUUAAAAGAUUGAGAUAUGGAGUUUUCAAAUCUGGCAGAUACACACCCUAGACUUUCAGUUGCCCUAAGUUUUAUCUAUAAAAAGAGCACACAUGCAAAGGAAGAGAGAGGCCGUCAACCAAGAACAAAAACCGAAAAGAAAUAAAAGAAAAACAUAAUUCAAGAGCAAAAUUAAGGGCUGCAUCAUAGGAGAAUUUGUAGAAAUCAUUCAGGAACUUAGUCUUUCUUAGUCUUCUCUUGUUUUCUUGUUUAUUCUUUAAUCAUGAGGAUGCAUUUGCUGACCAAAACUCCAUUGUUCAUGUUUCUUUUACAUAUUAUAAACUAAAUUUAUUUGUGGUUGAGUGAUAAAUAAUCUUGAUGGUCCAUUGACUAUAUAAAUGUGUUGUUGUAUGCUUGCUAUAGCAUUUUAUUUUGAUGAUAUUUAUUUAUAUUCAUUAUUUCGGUUGACCACCCAUUUAAUGAUACAAGCUAAGAAAGAGCUACAAAAGGACUUAUCUUAAUGUAACAUAUCCGAGUAAUACUUGGUUUUAGAUUGGGUUUCUUGAGUUGAGUUUUACUUGAUUCCAAAAGGGCCAUGCCUAAUAUAAAAUUCGUGAUGAAUUAGACAUACGAAUUCACAUUGUAGGAUAAAUAGAACCUAAAUGUGUAAUGUUAUAUCUUAUGUUGGCAUAACAAUUGGUCACUAUUAGAUUGCAUAAGGAUAUAAGACAUCCAACAUGCGACAGUUGAGGAUACAAUAUGAUUUUGCCUAGUGCUGUAUCAAACGUUGUAGCAACCGAGCCAAAGAUUAGAAGAAACAGUCAAAACCAUUAAGAGAGUUUAAUCACUCAACUACUCCAUUCUCAUUGGCUUUAUUCUUAUGUUUGACAUGAGAAUUUUAUUUAUUGCCUUUUUAGUUAUUACAUUUUAUAGUUUAAUUAGUUAUUUAGUCUCAUUAAUUAUUUAGUCUAAAUUUAGAACACAAGCUGCACUGUUCAGGAUUAUUUUAGCAAUUCUGAUAACAUCAAUCCCUGUGGAGACGAUCUUGAAUAUUUAUCAUUAUAUUACUUAUUGUGUACACUUGCAUAUUGAUACUAAUAAUACAAGAAAAAUUGCAACAAAUGUCAGUUUUUUAGAAAAUGAAUUUUCUAGCAUUGAAGAAGUUGAUAAGGAUUUUCAAUUUUAUGAAUUAGAAGAUCCAAAUGGGGUUAUCACUUCUAAUGUCGAUAUUGGCAUUAGUACGAAUCCUCUGGGGAUUGUUACUCUGAGUGGGAGUGAAACACCGGACACUUCGAUUCGAAUUAAGGAAUCGACUUAGAAGAGUAGUCGUAAGUCAAUUCCUUGUCAUCAUUUUGAAAUUGAGGGAGAAGUUUUAUGAUUACUUCACACGAUAGUGAAGAGCCAAAUACUUUUAAUAAAGCUCUCACAUCGUCUACUAGGGAUUUAUAGAUGAAAGCAAUAGAAGAAGAGAUAAAAUCUAUGAAAGUUAAUCAAGUUUGGGACUUGCUUGAAUUUCUGCCUAAUCGUAAAAUUAUCAGAAAUAAAUGGGUUCUCCAUAUAAAAUGUAAAGUGGAUGGGACAAUCGAGAGAUACAAAAUAAGAUUAGUCGCUAAAGGCUAUACCCAAAAGGAGGGAAUAGACUAUAAAGAAACCUUUUCUCCUAUGGUAAGGUUUGCUUCUAUACGAUUAAUUUUGGUCAUUAUUGCACAUCUAGACCUUGAAUUGCAUCAGAUGGAUGUAAAUAUUGCAUUUCUCUAGAUAAUGAACUGAGAGGUAGGCAAAUUUGGUUUGGAUCAGUUUGAGACAAAUUAUCAAACCGAUCCAAACUGAUAUCGACCUAAAUUUUUUUUAAACCAAACCAACUAGAUUGGUUUUUUUCUUGGUUUGAGAUUAUUAGCUAAAAGCCCACCUCUUUUAUAUUGUUGUACCUAAAUUAUUUGUUAUUUUUUGUAUCCAUAAUCCAAAUUGAUAUCUCUUUUAUAUUAUUCAUAUCUACAUAACAAUUUAAAGAUACAUCCAUACAAGUUCACAACAGAAUACAUCCUAAUAAAGAAGUUCUCAACUUGUUCAUUCAAAACAAACUCACAAAAUUAAAAUAAACUUGAACAACAUUUGACAAUCAAAAUAUCGUGCAUCUUGUCCUUUAAAACUUAUGGCCCAAUUACUUUUGAUUUGUCAAAAUCUGCAUAAAAUGACAAAAUGAUAGAUUGCUUAACUUAGAAAAUAAUAUAAUUAUACUAUAUGUAAAGCAUAGGUACCUUGCUCCACAGACGUACAUAAUUCCAAAUCACUAAAGUAUGAUGACAAUACUUCUACAUCAAACUUCCUAAUAAUUUUUUCAUCCAUACCAGAUGCUUUAAGCCAUUGUUGACUAUAUAUCAAAGUCUCUACCAUUGUAGGGGUUAAUGAACUUCGAAAUGCAUAGACUACACGACCUCCAGUAUUAAAAACAGGUUCAGAAGCCACAGUAGAUACAGGAAUUGCUAACAUAUCCUUUGCAAUUUGUGACAAAGUCCCAAACCUUGCACUAUUUGCAAUCCACCAACUCAAAACAUCAAACUAAUCAUCAGUUUCAUCCUCACUAGGUUAGAACAAAUACCUUUCUACCUCAUUUUUCAAAUCAAUGGAAUCUUUCUGCACUUUUAACUGCUUAUAUUGAGUCUUUGUAUUAAUAAAUGCAUAGUCCUUGCCACUUUUCCUUCUUAAACCCACAUCAAUUGCCAAAACAUCAUUAGUAGAUUGGCUACCAUCACCAGAAGUAGAUUCUACAAGACAAUAGGUUUUACAUAGCUAUGAACAUAAAUUUAAGUAAAUAUGAAUACAGUUACAAAAAAAAAGAAAAAAGUAACUAUUGUUAUAACUGAAUCUAAUUUGAAAGUUUAAGAAUACACCUUUAAAAGUAGCUUCUUAAUGUUUGAUGUAAUUUCUUUCGCUUUCUCAAGAUUAUGCAAAUUUUCAAAGCAAAAUGACACAUAAUCAAAUUUGUACCUUAGAUAUGAAAUGAAUUAGAGUAAAUAAUUAUCACAAUUGAUUUUAUCAUAAAAAAUAAAAAUUCAAAUGAAAUAACAGAUUUUUACCUUGGAUCAAGUACCACAGCAAUGAUCAAUAGUUGAUGUAUAGUGUCCAUAGAACCCCAAUACUUGUCACACUUUAUUUUCAUUUUUUCUGCCCUUUUACUAAGAAGCACCUCUUUUUUUUUUCAAUGAAUGAAUGCAACUAGGUUUGAAUGGUGCAAAGAUGAUGAAAAUACAAGUUAGACAUGACAAAUAAUAAAGCACUGUAUUCAACUAUACCAUUAUUCACAAAUUUCAAAAACUCGAUAAAUAUUGCAGCAUUUUUCCAAUCUUCAGUUGUGGGUGGCCUGAUAUGUUCUGCUUUCCUCUCAUUGAAAAAACUCAUAUAUGGUCCAUCACAUUCCUCUUCUUUCAGACUUUCAAAAGCUUUCUGAAAGUGUAUAGCUAUGGACAACAUAGUGUAGAUAUAAUUCCAUCUAGUGGGCACAUGAUAUGCUAAAAGCCCUUCAUAUUCAAUUUUCUCUCUCUCAACACAUGAUUUAAAUUUAUAAUGAUAACUCUAUGAAAUGAGAGUUAUCAUGGCACUUUGAGACUUAAAUCAUGAUUACUUAGAGAGUAAAUGACAUGUUUUUAUUGCAUUUUAGUAAUGUUUUGAAUAAACAUUCCAUUUUAGUUUACUUUUAAUAAGUUUUGUUUGAUUCAGAAUAAAUUGUAUGCUUAAAUCAUAUGCAUAAUUGUAAGUGACCGGAAGCUCAAAUUUCAAGAAAGGAAUACGGCUGCAAUAGGCUUGUAAAGAUAAGGAAAGAACGUAAUUAGAGAAGAAUUGAAACAAGUCUGGAACAGUGUAGAUGCUGAAGCCAUUGUUGUAGCACUGUUGUUGUAGCAUCGUUGUUAUAGAUUUUCUGGAGCAUUGACAGAGAAGAUUUUACGCGAGAUACUUUGAAGUUUGCGGUCUGGAGUUUUCUAAAUUAGAAGAUGCACAUUCUAGGCUUCCAGUUGCCCUAAUUUUAAGCUACAAAAUGAGCACACAUGCAAAGAAAAGGGAGCCGUCAUUGGAGAAGAAAAAUAGAUAAACAACACAAGAAAAAACAAAGAUCAAGAGAGAGAAUUGAGGGCUGCAACUAAGGAAUUCGAGAAGAACAUCAAGCGGAUCUCACUCUUAUUUUUUGUUCUCUUGUUUCUAUCUCGUUAUGAUGAAUUGUUUGAUGGCUGAAACUAUUUUACUUCUUGUUUUAUCCCAAAUUAUGAACUAAAUUUAUUUGUGGUUGAAUAAUGAACAAACUUGAUGGUUAAUUGACUAAUAUUCUGUGUUGCUACAUGUUUGCUAUAGCACGUUGUUUUGAUAAUACUUAUUUCAAUUUACUAUUUCAAUUUACUAUUUCGGUUGACCACCCAUUUAGUGAUACUAGUUAAGAAAGAACCUAAAAAAGACUUGUCUUAGUGGAACAUAUGAAAGCAAUACGUGGUUUUAGAUUGGGUUUCUUGAGUUGGGUUUAACUUGAUUUGAAAAGGGUCAUGCUUAAUAUAAAAUUAGUGAUGAACUAGAUAUAUGGAUUCACCUUGUAGUGUAAUUAGAAUCUAAAAUGUGUAAUGUUAUAUACGAUGUUAGCAUAACAAUUGGUCACUGUUAAGUUGCAUUUAGAUAUAAGUUAUCCAACAUGCGACAGCUGACAAUACAUAAGGAUUCUGCCCAGUGCUGUAGCAAAUGCUAUAGCAAUCGAGCCAACAUUAGAAAAAUAGUCAAAACCAUUAAGUGAGUUUAAUCGCUCAACUACUCCAUUCCCCUUGGGAACAUCCUUGUAUUUGCUGUGUUGCUACAUGUUUGCUAUAGCACGUUAUUUUGAUAAUACUUAUUUCAAUUUACUAUUUCGGUUGACCACCUAUUUAGUGAUACUAGUUAAGAAAGAACCUAAAAAAAACUUGUCUUAGUGGAACAUAUCAAAGCAAUACGUGGUUUUAGAUUGGGUUUCUUGAGUUGGGUUUAACUUGAUUUGAAAAGGGUCAUGCUUAAUAUAAAAUUAGUGAUGAACUAGAUAUAUGGAUUCACCUUGUAGGGUAAUUAGAAUCUAAAAUGUGUAAUGUUAUAUAUGAUGUUAGCAUAACAAUUGGUCACUGUUAAGUUGCAUUUAGAUAUAAGCUAUCCAACAUGCGACAGCUGACAAUACAUAAGGAUUCUGCCCAGUGCUGUAGCAAAUGCUAUAGCAAUCGAGCCAACAUUAGAAAAAUAGUUAAAACCAUUAAGUGAGUUUAAUCGCUCAACUACUCCAUUCCCCUUGGGAACAUCCUUGUAUUUGCUGUGUUGCUACAUGUUUGCUAUAGCACGUUGUUUUGAUAAUACUUAUUUCAAUUUACUAUUUCGGUUGACCACCCAUUUAGUGAUACUAGUUAAGAAAUAACCUAAAAAAGACUUGUCUUAGUGGAACAUAUCAAAGCAAUACGUGGUUUUAGAUUGGGUUUCUUGAGUUGGGUUUAACUUGAUUUGAAAAGGGUCAUGCUUAAUAUAAAAUUAGUGAUGAACUAGAUAUAUGGAUUCACCUUGUAGGGUAAUUAGAAUCUAAAAUGUGUAAUGUUAUAUAUGAUGUUAGCAUAACAAUUGGUCACUGUUAAGUUGCAUUUAGAUAUAAGCUAUCCAACAUGCGACAACUGACAAUACAUAAGGAUUCUGCCCAGUGCUGUAGCAAAUGCUAUAGCAAUCGAGCCAACAUUAGAAAAAUAGUCAAAACCAUUAAGUGAGUUUAAUCGCUCAACUACUCCAUUCCCCUUGGGAACAUCCUUGUAUUUGUUGUGUUGCUACAUGUUUGCUAUAGCACGUUGUUUUGAUAAUACUUAUUUCAAUUUACUAUUUCGGUUGACCACCCAUUUAGUGAUACUAGUUAAGAAAGAACCUAAAAAAGACUUGUCUUAGUGGAACAUAUCAAAGCAAUACAUGGUUUUAGAUUGGGUUUCUUGAGUUGGGUUUAACUUGAUUUGAAAAGGGUCAUGCUUAAUAUAAAAUUAGUGAUGAACUAGAUAUAUGGAUUCACCUUGUAGGAUAAUUAGAAUCUAAAAUGUGUAAUGUUAUAUAUGAUGUUAGCAUAACAAUUGGUCACUGUUAAGUUGCAUUUAGAUAUAAGCUAUCCAACAUGCGACAGCUGACAAUACAUAAGGAUUCUGCCCAGUGCUGUAGCAAAUGCUAUAGCAAUCGAGCCAACAUUAGAAAAAUAGUCAAAACCAUUAAGUGAGUUUAAUCGCUCAACUACUCCAUUCCCCUUGGGAACAUCCUUGUAUUUGUUGUGUUGCUACAUGUUUGCUAUAGCACGUUGUUUUGAUAAUACUUAUUUCAAUUUACUAUUUCGGUUGACCACCCAUUUAGUGAUACUAGUUAAGAAAGAACCUAAAAAAGACUUGUCUUAGUGGAACAUAUCAAAACAAUACGUGGUUUUAGAUUGGGUUUCUUGAGUUGGGUUUAACUUGAUUUGAAAAGGGUCAUGCUUAAUAUAAAAUUAGUGAUGAACUAGAUAUAUGGAUUCACCUUGUAGGGUAAUUAGAAUCUAAAAUGUGUAAUGUUAUAUAUGAUGUUAGCAUAACAAUUGGUCACUGUUAAGUUGCAUUUAGAUAUAAGCUAUCCAACAUGCGACAGCUGACAAUACAUAAGGAUUCUGCCCAGUGCUGUAGCAAAUGCUAUAGCAAUCGAGCCAACAUUAGAAAAAUAGUCAAAACCAUUAAGUGAGUUUAAUCGCUCAACUACUCCAUUCCCCUUGGGAACAUCCUUGUAUUUGCUGUGGUAUUUUACUUUAUUGCAUUUUUCUCAUUGCGUUUUUAUUUUUAUUAUUUCAUUAGUUUAAUAAUUUGUUUUAAUUCUUGUUUAUAAUAAAAAUUGCACUAAUAAAAUUGUUGUAGCAAUUCCUAUAACAACCUAUGGAGACAAUCUUGAAUAUUCAUCAUUAUAUUACUUAUUGUGUACACUUGCACAUUGACAUCAAUAGCAUUAGAAAACCUGCAACAUGCAACCUCAAACCAGAAGACCUCACAUAUAUAAUUGCAUUGCAAAUGCUAGUAAUUAAGUCAUGCAUCUCUUUCAGCCGUUCAGUCACAAUUAUAUUAACAAUAUGGGCACAACACCACAAAUGUGAAUAAUCUCCAUCUAAAGUCAUUGCAUCACCCUUCCAAUUUUUCAACUUUUUUUUUCAAAUAAUUGAUAGAAACGUCAUUAGCACUCACAUUAUCAACUAUAACAGUCAUCACUUUUUCUAUACCUCAAUCAAGUUAGCAUUUUUUAAUAAGGUUGCCGAUUAAGUCCCCUUUGUCGCUUGUUAUUUGGAAAAAAAAAUUCAAAAUUUUCAUAUGCAAUUUCCAAUUAUGAUCAACCCAAUGGGUUGUCACAACAUAUAAUUAAAAUUUUUUAUGGAAGUCCAAAUGUUUGUGGUAAUAGAAACUCUAUACUUAUUUGCAAUAAAAAUAUUUUUGAAUGCUGCAUUCUCAACUAAAUACAGUUGAUAUAUAUCUCUAACAAGUGUUCCCCUCGAAGGAGGGCCAAAUCUAGGAUAAAGUUUAUCUCACAAAAGAUGAAACCUAUAAGACUCUACCUUCCUAAAUGAAACCUUAUUAAGAAUAAAAUACAUAACUACAUUCUUCCUACAAUCCUCCUGAUCAAACUUUCCAGCAAUCCCCAACCCAAUACCAUACACAAUAUUCCCAGUGCCACUACCACUUGCCAUAUUAGACUUUUUUUUCUUAUCACGGAAGCGAGCUAAUUUAACUCGAGUCACAUAAUCCAAAGUAGCCCAAUAUUUUUCACAUUGUUCUCUUAAGUGAGUCCACAAAUUAAAAGUCUCAUUAAACUUACUAUCACACUUAUACUAGUUCCCACAAUAUUUGCACUUACAUGUCCUAUUCACUUAAUCUUUGAUUUAAUGAGGCCAAACUUUUGAACCCCUUUCACUGUCAUGAAGACGACCACUCCCUGUUCUAGAUUUCCUACUUUUAGGUUCUAGAAAAUCAUCCAUCAAUAUUUCUCCAUUUUCUAUGAUAUUAUUCACAUUGGAAUUAUCUUCCAUGUUGAGAGCUUCUAUAAUUAAUAAAAAUUAAAAAACAUUAGUUAUGGAAUCAAUUAAUCAAAUAAAUUAUCAUCAAUUAUACCAAAAUCCAUUUUAACUUUUGACUAAAAUAAAAUAAAAUUGUAGCAAGUAAAAUAAAAUCAAAACAUGCCAUUUUGUUCCCAUUUUUAAAAUUAUGACUAUGAGACUUGAGAAUGAGCGAUUGAGAUUGAGAGAGUUGAGAAUGAUAGGAGGCACUGGAGGUUGAGGCAGCUGUGAGUGUUGGACAAUUAGGUUUUUGUGUUUUUGUUUUUAUAAUAAGAAGUAUGCUAUUGUGUAUGAAAGUGUACAUUUCUUCUGUUAAUAAUCCAAUAAUAAAUUGACACAUCAUAUGUCUUAAAGCUUUAUAAAUUUUCUAGAUUGGAUUGGUUUGCCGAAAUCCAAAUCGAGUGAUGUCGGUUUGCAAUCCAAUAAAUCAAAACUAGUUUUUUUACUAAUGAAACCGAUCCAAAUGGUCGGUUUGGAUAGGUUCAGUUAAAAUAUGCCCACUUGUAAUAGAACCUUAAAUUCUAUCAAGCUAUAGUUUCUUAGCUUUAGGAUGGUUAAGGAAGACCAUUGUGUGUACAUUAAGAGAUAUAAAGACGCUUUUACAAUAUUGACUUUGUAUAUGGAUGAUAAAUUAUUGGCAGCAAAUAGUAAAGAGUUUGUCAAAAUUAUUAAAGAUUGGCUACAUUCAAAUUUUGACAAGAAAGAUAUCGGCGAAGCAACUUAUAUCUUAGGGGUCAAAAUUUUUAAGGAUCGUUCAAGGAAAUUUAUGGCUCUGUCACAAGAGUCUUACAUUAAGAAAAUCAUUGAAAGAUUCAAUGUGGCUGAUUGUAAGCACAAGGAUACCCCUAUAGCUAAAGGACAAUCUUUUAGUCUCGAUAUGUGUCCCAAGACUCCUCAAGAAAAAGAAAGAAUGACUAGAGUUCCUUUUGCAAAUGCCAUUGGAAGUCUUAAGUGUGUCAUAAUGUGUAUAAUGCCUGAUAUUAGUUAUGUUGUAGGACUAGUAAGUAGAUACCAGUCUAAUCCUGGUCAGAGGCAUUGGAGUACUGUUAAAAGGAUUUUAGCAUAUCUCAAAUGCACUGCAAAUUAUUGUUUAUGCUAUCAAGGAGGUGGUUUGCGGCUUGUUGGAUAUUCAGAAGCCGACUAGGGUGGUGAUCUGGAUUAGCGCAAAUCGGCUUCAAGAUAUGUAUUCUUGCUAAAUAGAGGAACAAUUACAUGGAGUAGCAAGAAGCAAACAUGCACGACUUUAUCAAUGGUGGAAGCCGAAUAUAUUGCAUGUUCUGCAGUAGUGCAAAAAGUUAUGUGACUUAAGAGAUUUAUAGAGAACUUAGAGAUUAAUAUUAGUAAUGAUAAUCUAGUGACUAUCUAUUGUGACAAUCAAGCUACUAUCCCUUUCUCUAAUGAUGCUAAAUACCAUACCAAAUCGAAACACAUUGAGUUAAAUACAAUUUUGUAAGAGAUAUUUUGGCAAAGAAAGAAGUAGUCAGCCGUACAAUAUAUAUCUACACAGAGCAUGAUAACUGAUCCACUUACCAAAGCUGUAAUAAGGGAUGUAUUCGCCUAUCAUGCUAAAUCAUUAGGGCUACGUAGAUUAUAAAUUACUACUAUUAAGAUGUACUUAUUUGUUAUAAACAUCUUCAUUACAUAAGUUGUUUGAAAAUGUAAUAGUAUCUCUUAUUUCAAUUUAUUCCAUGAAAGACAUAAUUACACAUAUAUAAGAGUAUGUCGUCAGGUCCAGACUAGUAUUUUUACACAAGCGGUCACCUCAAUUGCUUUAGGAGCAAGAUGAGAUGAGACAAGUAGAAUAAUAAAACAAUAUUUUUGUGUGAGAGCCAAAUAAAAAGCAUUAUUCUACAAGUUUUUUUGCCUUGACUAGAAUCAAGAGGUCUCACACGAUUUUCAUUAUAGACUGACUAUGAUAUACCCCACCAUCAUGGAGACUUGAUUGAAGCUAGAUGUGAGAUCUUACUUUUUACGCUAGAAGACAGCGUUCAUUCUAAAAGAGUGACUAGACUAAGAUCUAUAGUCCUGGAAUGGAAAAUUUAUCGUAACACGUGUAUCAUACCACGCGUGCUUGGUAAUCAAAAUGGAAAAUGAAAGAAUCUUCAAUCUUUCUCAUUGUGUAAGUUUCAUAUAACUUUUUAUAAGUCAAUCCUGGUAUCAUCUUCUUCUCUUCUUCGUGAAGAUUAAAAUUAAGAACAUUGAACAAUCCAUAAAAAGGGCAUUUAUACUGUGAUCAGAUAAGGAUUUCCGCUUGCGAUUUCUUCUGACCAUUAACAUGAUCCAAUACUCGAUUACUCCGCUGCUGAAUUCAAUAAGAAAAAUAUUUCUAGAAUUUUCAUUUUUCCUUCAGACCAUGUAAGAAGCAUACGAACAGGAUGAUCCGGAGUCAAAAGGUGAACGAGGUGACGGCUCGUCCGUUAGUACUAUUAAUGUAUAAGGUAAUAUGGGAAUUACUAAUAAUUAAUCGACUAGCUGAUUUGUUAGUUAUGAUUAUCAAUGACGGUCUAUUUCCUGCCCAUAUUUUACCAUGCUGUUGAAUGGUCCCCUUAAAAUAAUCCAGAUCAGUCAUUUGCAUAAAAAUAUAUCAUGAGCGGUUAGGUGGAGGAUGCUGAUUUGUUAGAAAAUAAUUGUUUUCAACUCUUGCGAUUGUCUGCACCCUGCACUCUUGUUCCAAAACCAAUACAAAGCUGUAGCAAUCUUAAGAGGAUUUGUGGAACAAAAGAUGGCCAAGAUUGGAGGUUCUCUGCUUGUUCCUUGUGUUCAAGAGUUGGUCAAGAAUCCUAUGUUAGUUGUCCCUCCUAGAUACAUUUGUCCGGACGAAGAUUCACCACUCAAUUCUGAUCAUACUUUGAUUUCACAGAUACCAGUUAUUGACAUGCAGGGCUUGCUUUCUGAAGAAUCAAUGGAUUCUGAGUUAGCCAAGCUCGACUUCGCUUGCAAAGAAUGGGGUUUUUUCCAGGUAAAAUGCUUUAGCAGAGUUAGAAAGAUUUUUCAUGCUUGUCUGUGAUUUAAGAAUCAUGAAAUCUGCAAAACUCUCAGUCACAAAUUAUCUAUUUUUGAAACCCAGUUUCCAUUGAUUUAGCAUGUCAUGAUUUCAAAUUUCCCAUCUAGUCCUUUUGCUGCUUUCAGUGCUUCUAGGACUGCAGCUUGUGAAAUGUCAAGGAAGUUGUCUCUUGUUUUAUUGUACAAUUUAUGAGGCGAUAUGAGAAGAAAACACUCACCAUUUAUUUCUGAAACCCAGAUUCCAUUGAUAUAUUUGUUUUUGACUUUCUUUAUUACUUUACCUUUCCAUAUAGCCAUAGAUUUGUUAGUAUAAUUUGUAUUAAAAGAUGCCCAUGACAAAGUUCACCUAUUUUGUCUCAAUAGCUUUUGGUAGCUUAUGAGAAAUAUGCUUCUGUCAAUAUGUGAUUAAAGAUAUCGUAAUUGUAUAAGACUCCCGCAGAUUAUUAGCUGUUCUAGAAUAUUCAAAUUUCUCCAAAACUAUGACUAAAAAACACUUGUAAAAAUCAAUCAUUGAUUAGAUUUAUAAACAAAAUAAAAUUGGUGUUUAAUGCAACAGCAAUGUUCUCAGUUGAAAUGUAACAAAUGCUUUUAGCCAUCUUUGAUAGCAAAUCUUGUCUCUAAAUUAGUCAAAUAAGUUGCAAUCUGUCUUCAUAAAACGCCUGGACGAUUGUGAACCUAGUGGCACGAUUAUCAAAUCUUAGCUGCUGUUCAUUCCUGCAUAAUUUCAGCUGGUAAACCAUGGAGUAAGCUCAGCAUUUCUAGAGAAAGUGAAGAAAGAGGUUAAGGGCUUCUUCAAUCUCAGCAUGGAAGAAAAGAAAAAAUAUUGGCAGCAUCCAGGAGAUGUAGAAGGAUUUGGACAAGCCUUUGUUGUAUCUGAGGAACAAAAGCUUGAUUGGGCUGACAUUUUCUCCAUGAUCACUCUUCCAGUUCAUCUGAGGAAGCCACACUUAUUUCCUAAGCUCCCUCCUUCCCUCAGGUUCUCUCUUUUUGUGGUUGAUAUGGAUUUGCAAACAAAAAGAGAAAAUUAAACCUUCUAUGAUUCUAUCUAAUGUUUUACCUUCUUUUUUCUUGUAGAGACACCUUGGAAGUUUACUCGAUGGAGUUAAAAUCUCUGGCCAUGAACCUGAUAUCGAAAAUGGGAAAAGUUUUAAAUAUCAAAGAUGAAGAAUUGAGAGAAUUCUUUGACAAUGGUUUCCAAUCAAUGAGGAUGAACUAUUACCCUCCAUGUCCUCAACCAGAAAAGGUUAUGGGCCUCACCCCUCAUUCUGAUGGCUCUGCUCUUACCAUUCUGCUACAAAUCAAUGAAGUAGAAGGUCUCCAGAUCAAGAACGAUGGAAAAUGGAUUCCUAUCACACCGCUGCCAAAUGCUUUCAUUGUCAACAUCGGAGACACAUUGGAGGUAAUAAUUAUGAUUACUUUCCUUGGCAUUUUUAUGUCCCUUCUCAUGUGCUCUAAUAUUUUUAACAUUGCAGAUUAUGACCAAUGGGACAUACCGUAGCAUUGAACAUCGUGCAAUUGUGAACUCUAUACAAGAAAGACUUUCCAUUGCCACAUUUUACACAAAGAGAUUAGAUGGCGAAAUAUAUCCAGCAUCCAGUUUGAUAUCUGAAAAAACUCCUGCAUUGUUUCGAAGAGUGACAGUUGAAGAAUACUUUAGGAGCCGGUUUGCUCGUGAGCUUAGGGGAAAAUCUCACCUGGAUGACCUGAGAAUUCAACAUGGUCGAGGCUAGUACAAUUAUUUUGGAUAAUUGCAGAUUUGUGCCAGGAAUUUUCUGAUGAUAAUUGUGCUUAUUUUGGAUCAGUUUCUUUCAUUUUUGGAAUAGAAUUUUUGCAGGCUUGUCAUGUUUUUAUCAGAUUUCAAGAACUAUUUCACUUGCUUUCGGAGUUAAAGAUGAUUCAAAUAUGAUAUUAAAUACUUAAGCAUGCCAUUCUAACGCUUGCUUGUCCAAUUACAUCCUUAUCAACAAUAUAUUUUGUUACAAUGUCACUGAAGUUGAAUAGAUAACAACAUGCUUGGGUUAUAUGUUGUCAUUUGGCUUAACCAUCCGUCACAUUAAGCAGAUUGUUGUGAUAAUGUGUUUUACAACCUUCCCCAGUAGCAUGAAUGUAGUUAAAAUAAUUGUAACAAAUUUUGUAUUGCUUGUAGCAACAUUGUUCUCCAUAGCACACAUUGCCUGAGUACAAAAGUUGUAACUUGUUACCAAUAAUAAUAAUAAAAAAUAAUAAUAAUAGUAAUAAUAAUUAUCAAUAACUAAAAAUGAGACAGAUGUUACUUUCAUAAGUGGAACUUGGAUUCACAAGCAAAAUAUGAGGUUUUAAUUGGUUGUUAUCAGAAAAAAAUAUAAAGAUAAUUAAUGCCUAAACAUAAACAGCUAUAAUUGUAUAAAUGACUAAUCGAUUACAAUUCGAAUCCACUAUUUUCUUAAUAGUGCACAGUCAAUUCCAACACAGCACCAGAUUGCAGCGUGUUAGAAAAAUUUUUAGGUAAUCAUAUAUAUGUUUUAAUCAAUUAUGAUAAUAUGUUUACCCAUAUAUAAGAUUUGAAUAGAUAAAAAGUAAUACUCGAGAACCACCAAAGUCCUUUUAACUGCAGACACGCAAUGGUGGAUUACUCGCACAAGUCAAGAGCAAAAUACCAAGUUGUGAAAGAAAAAUAAAAAGGGGAAAAGAAAACAAAACGCAGUAUUGAAAAUACCUUCGCCUUUUGGGUUGAUGACAAGGUGGGAACCACAAAUAAUUAAUUGGCUGAUGGUUUGUCAUCGUUAUCCAUAGAGGAUAGUUUUGACCUGCGAAUAUUUUAUUUUGCAUUCGAAACAUGUGCAAAAAAUUAAAAAUACUUCAUGAAUGGUUAGGUGGAGGAUGCUGAUUAAUUACUUGGAAAAAGAUUCCUUUUUACUUUUGUGAUUGUCAGCACUCAGUCUUGUUCCAAAACCAAUACAAAGCUGCAGCAAUCUUGAAAGGAUUUGAGGAACAAAAGAUGGCCCAGAUUGGAAGUUCUCUCCUUGUGCCUUGUGUUCAAGAGUUGGUCAAGAAUCCGGCGUUAGUUGUCCCCGACAGAUACAUACGUCCAGAUCAAGAUUCACCCCUCAUUUCUGAUGAUAUUUUGAUUUCACAGAUACCAGUUAUUGACAUGCAAAGCUUACUUUCUAAAGAAUCAAUGGAUUCUGAGUUAGCCAAGCUCGACUUCGCAUGCAAAGAAUGGGGUUUUUUCCAGGUAUAAUGCUUUAGCAAAGUUAGAAAAUUGUUUCGCCAGAACAUGCUUGUUUGUGAUCAAGAAUCGAGAAAUAUGCAAAUUGUCAAUCAAAUAGGCAAAAUUAAAAUUCAUAUUUAUUUCUUAAACCCACGUAUCAUUGAUGUUAGCAGAUCAUGGUUUCACUUUCCAGUGUUGUCUGUGGCUUAGGACUGCAGCUUGUGAAAAGAAGAACUUGUCUCUGGUUUAUUUAUUAUUGACUUUCUAUAUUGCUUUACCUUUUCUCCCUCCAGGCAUGGUUUAAUUAGCUAUUUCAUUCCUAAAUGUCAAACAGGCAAUAUGUAUUAAAAAGAUUGUCUUGAGAAAUUUCACCUCCUCUGCCUCAAUAGCUUUUGGUACCUUAUGAGAAAUAUGCUUCUGUCAAAAUUUUAAAAGAUAUACUAUAGUAAAUUGUGUAAGACCUCUUAGAAAAUGUACUCAUUUCUGUAGUCAAUGUUGCAAAUUUACUUUAAUUUAAAGACAAUUAGAAGUAACAUUGAGAUUAUUUGCUGUUGUAUGAUUUUUCAAAUUCUAGGUGUGAACAAACCACAAGAACUUUAUGCUCAUUAUAGUUAUUCUAGAAUAACCAAAAUUUCUCCGAUAGAAUGAGUAGAAAACACCUGUGGAAACUAAUUGUUGGGAAGAUUUAAAUGUAACAAAUGCUUUUAGCCAUCUUUAAUGGUAAAUCUUAUCUCUAAAUCAGUCAGAUAAGUUGCAAUCUGUCUUAAUAAAACACCUGGACUAUUGUGCGCUUAGUGGCACGAUUAUUAAAUCUUUGCUGCAUUUCGUUCCUGUAUUUUUUUCAGCUGGUAAAUCAUGGAAUGAGCACAGCAUUUCUAGAGAAAUUAAAGAAAGAGGUUGAGGGAUUCUUCAAUCUCAGCAUGGAAGAAAAGAAAAAAUAUUGGCAGCGUCCAGGAGAUAUGGAAGGAUUUGGACAAGCCUUUGUUGUAUCGGAGGAACAAAAGCUUGAUUGGGCUGACCUUUUCUCCAUGAUGACUCUUCCAGUUCAUCUGAGGAAACCACAUUUAUUUCCUAAGCUCCCUCCUUCCCUCAGGUUCUCUCUCUCUCUCUCUCUGUGUCAAUGUCAUUUUGAUUUGCAAACAAAUAAAGGAUAGUGCAUCUUCUUUUCCUGUAGAGAGACCUUGGAAGUUUACUCAAUGGAAUUAAAAACCCUAGCCGAGAACCUAAUAUCGAAAAUGGGAGAAGUGUUAAAUAUCAAAGAUGAAGAAAUGAUAGAAUUCUUUGAAAAUGGACUGCAAGGAAUGAGGAUGAAUUAUUACCCUCCAUGUCCUCAGCCCGAGAAGGUUAUGGGCCUGUCGCCGCAUUCUGAUGCAGCUGCACUUACCAUUCUGCUACAACUUAAUGAAGUGGAGGGUCUCCAGGUAAAGAAGGAUGGAAAGUGGAUUCCUGUUACCCCACUCCCGGAUGCUUUCAUUGUCAACAUUGGAGACACAUUGGAGGUAAUAAUUAUAAUAAAUUACCUUAACCUGGCAUUUUUAUGCGCUUGCUUAUGUGCUUUAAUAAUUUUUACAUGGCAGAUUAUAACCAAUGGGACAUACCGCAGCAUUGAGCAUCGUGCAGUUGUAAACUCUGUACAGGAAAGACUUUCCGUUGCCACAGUUUACUCAGUGAGAUAUGAUGGUGAAGUGUAUCCUGCCUCCAGUUUGAUCUCUGAAAAAACUCCUCCUUUGUUUAGAAGAGUGAGAAUUGAAGAAUACUUUAGGAGCCGGUAUGCUCGUGAGCUUAGGGGAAAAUCUCAGUUGGAUUCCCUGAGAAUUCAACAUGGUCAAGGCUAGUAUAAGUUUAUUUUGGAUAACUAAAGAGUUUGGUACAAAAACUCUUAAGGACCUUGCUAUUAAGAUUGGCGUGGAACUGAAAAUAAGAAAUAAGUUCUAUGAAUACUGUGGUAUAACCUGCUAUGCUAGGGUCGUUGUGUAGCUCUAUCAUUUGAGAUACUGAAUAGACCAUGUAAGAAUCUUAAGAAUUGCAGACUUAUGCCUGGAAUCUUCCGAUGAUAUAUGGUGGUGCUUAUAUCAGAUCAGUAUCUUUCUUUCUUGAAAUAGAAUUUUUGCAUACCUGACUUGUUUUUAAUGAGAUUUCAAGGACUAUAUGACUUGGUUUCAAAUUUUUAUGAUACAUACAGAUAAUAUUACCACAGAACCAGUGUAGUUUCUGUAUCAGCCGUUAUAGUUUUCAGUUAAUAGUAACAAGUUUUUGAUUUUUAACAAGAAUGUUGUCCUUCCACGUCUUAAAUAUUCCGUUCCAUAACACACAUUGUGACGAAUACAUAACUUGUUACCAUUGACGAAAAAUUUUGCCAUCAAUAGCUGAAAAUAGAUGUUAGUUACACAAGCUGCAAAGCUAUAACUUUGGAUUUCAUAUUCAGAUUGUCCCUCUCAAAGUUGAACUUGGAACUACGGUUGAUGAUCUGCUAUUAUGCUGAGAAAAAUACAAGAUUUUUUUUUUGGUUGUCAUCAGACAAUGUAAAAGAAAUUAGCAUGGGAUCCAAAUUCUUGAGAGUUUGAUAAGGCAAUGCACUAUAUUUUUUUAUAACUCGCAGCAGACAGCAGCACAACAGCAGACUGCAACUGUCAUAUUCACAAAAUAUCUAUGGGCCAACCCUAGACCCGCAAUGGUGGAUUAGUCUCACACAAGGCCACAGCAAAUAAUGACUUGUAGAAAAUAAUACAUUUUCAACAUUUGCUUUGUCAAUAAAAAUCUGUAGCAUUAUUGUUGAGAGAAUUUGUGCAACAAAAAGAAGGCCAAGUUCGGAGGUUCUCUGCCUGUGCCUUGUGUUCAAGAGUUGGCCAAGAAUCCUAUGUUAGCUAUCCCCCCAGGUACAUACCACCACGCUAAGAUUUAACCACAAUUUCUGAUAAUAAUUUGGAUUCACGGGUAUUGCAGAGCUUGUUUUCUGAAGAGUCAAUGGAUUCUGAGUUGUCCAGGCUCCACUUCGCUAGCAAAGAAUGGGCUUCUUUCCAGGUAAAGUCCUUUGCCAAGUUAUUAUUAUUUUGCUUUUAAAGGAUUUGCUUGGGAUGAGACCUCAUCUACUAAAUACCACCCUUUGUCCCAUAUUGUUACUCGAGCGCAGAUAUCUGCAAAUUGCGAAUUACAUUCACAACCAGCUAAGCUACACCUGCCGUGAGGCACCCAAGUUUGUACUUUUUCAUUUGGACAUGCUUGGUUUGUUAAUAGUAGUCUGGGGUCAAGAAUUAAGAAAUCUGUAUACUCUCAAUCAAAGAGCACAGUCGAUCAAAUUCAGAUUAGAUUAUGUUCCAUUCUUAUAGGUCAAGUAGGCCACAAAUUUGGCCUACUCUGUAUCAAUGCUUUCUUACACUGUAAGUUAGCAAUAAGAAAGCUGUAACAAAAUUUGAGUCUACGUAGUCUUAACCAAGCCGGUUUAAGCACUCUUUUUUUUAAAAAAAAAAACAUUGAGGGAUGUAACUGACCUUGUCCGAUUAUGGACCCAUCUAACUUGCUUUCUUGUAUGGCUGAGAAGAAAAACCUGCAUUCUUGAAAAUUAAAUUGUCUUUAAUAUCUUUCAGAUGUCUAGGCUUGCGGUAGCUUGAGAAGAACUAUAAGCAAAUUUAUGAUGGAGUAUAAUGCAAAUGCGAUUCUAUUAGUUUAUUGAAAUCUAACAAAUACUUUUAUUCAUCGCACUCAGUAAAUUUUGCCUGAAUUAGUCCAAUAAGUUGUACUCUGUCUCAGCAAAAUACCUUGACCAAAAUAAAAAACGUAGUGACACGAUUGUUAAUGUCUUAGCUGUUUUUCUGUUUCUGAAUUGUUUCAGCUGGUAAAUCAUGGAGUGAGCCCUGCAUUUCUAGAGAACGUAAAGAAAGAGAUUCCGGAAUUCUUCAAUCUAAGCAUGAAAAAAAAAAAAUUGGCGGUCUCCAGGAGCUGUGGAAGGAUUUGGACAAGCAUUUGUUGUAUCCGAGGAACAAAAGCUUGAUUGGAAUAACAUUUUCUUCAUGACAACUCUUCCAGUUCAUCUGAGGAAACCCCACUUGUUUCCUAAGCUCCCUCUUUUCCCCCUCAAGUUUCUCUCUCUCUAGGCAGUUAUUUGAUGAUUGCAAAUGUAUUAUGUUCAGAGAAAGAUCCCAAGUCAGUUAUAUUUAGCAAAAUUUGACAACCAAACAUGAUUUUGAAAGAAUACUGCUAAAUAAUAACUUAUUUAACAAUCCACCACAAUCAUGUACUAAACCUUCUAAUUGCGUCUUCUUUUUUCUUGUAGGAAAUUUUGGAAUUUAUUCAGUGGAGUUAAAAAUCUUUGGCCAUGAACCUGGUAUCGAAAAUGGGAAAAGUUUUAAAUAUCAAAGACGAAGAAUUGAGAGAAUACUUUGAAAAUGGUUUCCAAUCAAUGGGGAUGAACUAUUACCCUCCAUGUCCUUAGCCGGAGAAGGUUGUGGGCCUCACAACUCAUUGUGAUGACUCUGCUCUUACCAUUCUGCUGGAAAUCAAUGAAGUAGAAGGCCUCCAGAUCAAGAAGGAUGGAAAGUGGAUUCCUGUUACACCUUUCCCAAAUGCUUUCGUUGUCAACAUUGGAUAUGUGUUGGAGGUAAUUAUUAUGAUAAGUUAUUUUAACUUGACAUUCAUAUGAGCUAGCUAAUGUGUGCUUUCAUUAAUUCAUGUUGCUCCACUUCCUAAUGCUUUCAUUGGAGACACAUUGGAGGUAAUAAUUAUAGUAAAUUACUUAACUUGGCAUUUAUAUGCGCAUGCUCAUGUGCUUUAAUAAUUUUUACAUGGCAGAUUAUAACCAAUGGGACAUACCGUAGCAUUGAGCAUCAUGUAAUUGUAAACUCUGUACAAGGAAGACUUUCCAUUGGCACAGUUUACUCAGUGAGGUAUGAUGGUGAAAUGUACCCUGCGUCCAAUUUGGUCUCUGAAAAUACUCCUUCAUUGUUUAAAAGAGUGAAAGUUGAAGAAUAAUUUCAGGAAUCUGUGUGCUCGUAAGCUUAGGGGAAAAUCUCAUCUGGAUGCCUUGAGAAUUGAACAUGUUCAAGAUUAUUAUAAGUUUAUUUUGGAUAACUAAAGAGUGUAGUACAAAAACCGUGGGGGACCUUGCUAUUACAAUUGUGUGUGGAACUAAAAAUAAGAAAUAAGUGUAAGAACAAUAAAUCCUUUGGUGAAAAUCAUCACCUCAAUUUAGGAACAUGUAUGUUGUAUCACCAAAAAUUAAUAAUAGAAUAUGCGGCAGUGUACCUAAGUUCAUAAUGCACAAUUGCUCUUUAGAGCCGAGUAGUUUGUCUUCCAAAUAAACAUGUUCUCCUAAAGAAUUCUUUAAACUUCUCUAUACUGUCUCUUUAAUGAUGAGAUGUCAAUAGAGAAUAGAACAAUACGUGUGACCUAUGGAUAAUAACUACUUAUAUAUAUAGAUUUUCCUUUUGUUUUUAGGUAUUCUUAUUUCAACCCAUUAUAAAAAUCAAAAUUAGUCUUAAGUCUCUAUACAUUAAAGGCCCACAAUCUAUUAGAUACAUUAAAACCCAAAUUACCGAAAACCUUAAUAGACCAAUUUUAAUUUGGCUUAGAGUUAGACUAUUGGCACCCCUCCAAAAUUCUUCUAAAACCCCUUUUUCAAUAAUGCUAAGCUUAAUGCCAAAAAUACCCUUAUUUCUAAAUAAACACAUUUAAUUUGUGAAUCUUUUAAUUUUUAUUAUUUUCUCGCUCCUCACAAACAAAAUUUUAUGGGUGAUAAGUUUCUUGAUAAAAAUCAAUUAAUAAAAUAAAAUAUCUGUAAGAUUAUAAUGUAAAAAGUUUUAUUAUGAGCCUUAAAAAAAGGUAGAUAAUUUUUUCAAAAUGUGUUUUGUUUAUUAUCAAUAGAUUGUCUUAGUAAUUGAAGAAAAAUUUACAGAGAAUUUGAGAAAAAAAUUACAUGUGUGAGUUUGAUGGCAGAGAAAAUACAAGAGCUUUUUUUUUAAGAGAGAAAAUACAAAAGUUUGAAGUGAGAUAAAAUAGAUGUGAGAUAUAUUAGAGUAUUUGUCCUUAAAUGUAAUUGUAAUAGAAGAGGAAGUUUAAAAGGAUUUUGAAGGGGUGUCAAUAGUCCAACUCUUUGGCUUAAUCUUAUAUGACAAUUCACAUCAUAUAAUUAUUCACAUAUAAGCGCAACAUUGGAUCAAGGAUCCAACCAUACCAGAUUAAAGAUCCAACAACCUUUCACUUGGACUAUAUAUAUAACUUUGUAAUUAUACUUUACAAAAAUAACUAUAUGAGGUCAACUUUACUGUCAUUACCAAAAUGCAUCUAUAGCCAAUUCGGUCCAUCUAUCAUACCAACAUAGGAUCAAAAUGACCUUUAUUACAAAUAUCGUAACUUGACCCAUCAAUGCUCACUAUGCCAGCAUAACUUAAUGACAUAGAUCAUGAUAUGGUGUAGGAUGGAAAUUUUAUGUAAUGUGAUUUCAACAUGCCUAUUUUCAAUUGAUCCACCUUAAACAUUAGUGAGAUCAAAUUAUACAAAAUUAGAGUGUAAAUAAACCAAAAUUUUAUUUCUGUAGAAAAUAGCCUUAAAUAUCCCCAAACCGAAAAAUGUUUAUAUCAUAAAAGCAUUUAAAAGUUACAAACUCCCAUUAAAAAUGAAUAUCAAUAUCCUUUAAUGACAUGACACCCAUAUGAACAAUGUGCUCAUGAAACAUUUUAAAUGACAUUCCCUUAGUAAACGGAUCUGUAAUCAUGGAGUUUGUACCAUUAUACUUUAUAGACAAUUGUCCACUCUGAAUUCCUUAGGAACUUGAUGUCUAUAUACUGUGACAUCGUUGAGCUCUUAUUGUUAUUGGAAUAUAGCACUGCUGACUUAUUGUCACCAAAUAACUUAAGUGGUCUAUCAUAAGGGUGUCAAAAAAGCCUGCCCGGACCGGACCCGGCCCCCGGACCGCAUGCACAUAAAAACCGGACCCAGGUUUGAAAUUCUCAAACCCGGACAUUUCCGGGCCCGGGUCCGGGUUCAACACCAAAAACCCGGAACCCGGACCGGACCCGGUUUUUUAAUAAAUUUUUUUAAAAAAUAUAUAAAUAUAUAAUUAUGAAUUUAUGAUAUGUUGGAUGUUAUUUAAAUUUAUUGUGUGAUUAUUGUGUUGUUGAAUUUAAUUUAUUUAUUUUAUAUAUAGAUUGAAUGAGUUUAAGUUAGAAAUUGGAUGAAUUUAGGUAUUAGAAAGUGGAUUGAAAUAAUUUUAAUUUAUCAUUUGUGCAAAAUUUGCAUUGUUAGUGUGUUAUAUAUUUGUAUUUGACUAUUUGCUUUUUUAAAGUUUGAGAUUGAAUGAGUUUAUUUGAUUAUUUUCUUUUUUUAAAUUUGCAUUGUUAGAGAAAUGAAAGAAAAAAUUGAAGAAAAAAAUUGAAGUUAUCACAUGCGGGUUUAGAAAGCCCGGAUCAAAACCCGGACCCGGAAGGUGCCGGGCUCAACCCCGGACCGCACCCGAAAAAAUUGGGUUUUAACCCGGGUUCGGUCUUGUAUUUCUCUCAUCCAGUCCCGGGCAACACCAAAACCCGGACCGGACCCAAAUUUUGUCAAGCCUAGUCUAUCAAUACUAUUUAAAAUGAGUAAUUCUAUGACGAAAUUUUGUAGCCAUAUUCCUUGAUUGGAUAUUUCGUAACAUGCUGUGAACUCCGCUGCUAUAGUAGAAAAGGCUAUAAGAGACUGUUUAGCACUCUUUCAGGAAACAACACCCCUAGCCAGUAGCUAGAUGUAACCAAAAGUAGAUUUCAUAUUAUCUUGGGAUCUAACAAAAUCAGAGUUAGCAUAAUGAUCUCAAGCUGAUCUAACUUUCGAUGUAGUCUUUUGUUCUCUGUAAGUAUCGCAAGACCCGUUUGGCUGUUUCCCAAUAGUUUACCCCUGGAUUACUUAAAUAUCUAUCCAACAUUCCAGUAAUGUAUGCAAUAUUCAGUUGCGUACAAACCUAAACAUACAUCAGACUUUCUAUUACUGAUGUAUAAGGAAUCUUCUACAUUUUUUAUUCCUUAAAAUCAUCAUUAGGGCACUAAUUGUGUAACAUCCAUUAUUUUUGUUUUAUUUAUUUAUUUUUUAUUAUUUUACUACUACUACUACUACUACUACUACUACUACUACUACUACUACUACUAUUAUUAUUAUUAUUAUAUCUAUUUUAGAGAAUAUAGUAUUUUAGGCUAAUGAUUUUAAGCGUGUUUUAAUUUUUCUUUAUUUAUUUGAUUUACCAAUUUAGUAAAUACCUUAUUAAAAAAGGAAAUAAAUUCCUAAAUAGGUAAGGGUGUUAAAAGGCUUGGCUUUAUAAAAGCUUCUCUUGCGUUGUUUUAUUUCUCAAAAUCCUAGAGGCUGAAUACAACAACACACACAAGAGUAAACCUUUUUUUUUUAAGAAGAGAAGUAGAUUUUGAUUGGUUUUUUUCUUUUCCAUAAAGAAAUUCUUGAGUUUUGAAUUUGUUUUGAAGGAUUUAGCCUUCUGGUUUUAUUUGUGAUUUUAUGUGAUUGAUUGAAUGAUUUUGUGUGUAUUACAUUGAUAAAAUUGUGAAAGCAUGAUCAUCUAUUGAUUUAUGUUGUUAUUGAGUGAAAGUGGUGCUAUUAUUUUAUCUUGAAAACAGUGAACAACAUAGAUUCAAUGUUUUAUGACUGCUGUUUUCAUUAAGUCUCAUGCAUAAAAUUUUAUAAUUUAUUAAACUAGACAUCUUUAUCUUUCUAUUUAUAUGUUUAUCGUUCAAAACUCAUUGUAUAUUAAUUUUUUUGAUUUUUCAAAAUUGGAACACUAGUGUUGGAAAAUUCCAAUUUUCAGCAGCAGUUCUCGUUACUAUAAUUUAUUUGGUAACUCAAACGAUUUCUGAAAAUUCUAGGAACGUUUUUCAUUUUACACAUAUAUGUCUAGUUUCUGUAUACUUAAAUUCCUAAUUUUUGGCUUUAUAUAAAAAUAAUUAAAAAUCAUAGAGCUAGGCUACCGUAAUAUUGGAAAUUGUUUUCUAGAAUUGCGAGGGUUGAUAUUGAAGCGAGUUUGGGUUACUUUUUCAUAGUGAAUGCUAGGGGUGGGCAAAAUACCCGACCCGAUCCGACCCGAAAAAAUUCGGGUUCGGGUCGGUUCGGGUUGUUAUUGAAACCCGAACGGGUGAAAAAUUGCAAACCCGAUCGGGUUGUGAUUGGGUCGGGUAAAACCCGAUCCGAUCCGAAUACCCGAUCGGGUCGCACAAAAAAAAAAAAUCACUAAACCUAUAAACACAUCACACAUGCACACACCAGACACCAGACACCACACACACGGCCAUGCAAAGUUACAACUCAAAAAGUCACAAAAACAAGUGGCUAAAAAAAUAUUGACAAAUAAAAAACAAAAUAUAAUUAUAACCCACGCACACAGGCCACAGCCACACACAAACAUUGAAACAUAUCUUCGCUGCCUUCACAGCCCUCAUCCCCACAGCCCUCAUCCUUACACUCACAACUUCACACACACACACAAAUAUCGCAAAAGCCAAAAGCAAAGCGGCAGCUAGCAGCCAACGCAGAGAAGAGAACGGAGGAAGCGCAGCCAGUGCAUGCAGCCACCUAACCCGUGACUGGAUCUACUGCUCCGCGACAUCCGUAGCUACCAGAUCUGCUGUUGCCGGAUAUCUACAGGAUCUGUUGCUGCUGGAUCCGCUGCGCUGCUAUCGGAUCUGCUGUUGCAGCCUCCACCAUCACCGAGUUCCACCGCGAAGGUGCGAACCGGCAACUCGAAUUCUUUUCUUUUUUUGAUGUUUUGAUGGGAUAUAAUAAUAUAUUAUAUAUUAUCUGUUAAUUGCUAAGUAUAUGUAUUGUUAAAUGUUAAUAAUAAAAUGAGGGAAAUUCUUGUAUGGAAAGUUUUGGAGUUUAAUUUAUUAAGUCUGUGGAAGCUUAAAUAAUAAGUAUGAAUUGAUUUCUUUUUUUUUGUUUUGUUUUUAAUGAAUAGAUUAAGCAAAUUAAGCAUUAAAAUUAAAUAUUUUGCAUUUGAUCUGUGCAAUGUUUCACCCGAUCCGAAUUAACCCGAAUUUAACCCAAUUAUUUGACCCGAUCCGAUCCGAUCCGAAUAUAUUCGGAUCGGGUUACAACUUCGGGUUGAGUUCGGAUGAAUUCUUUUCUAACCCGAUCAACCCGAAAUCCAAUCGGGUUGAUCCGAACCCGACCCGAACCCAAAAAUGCCCACCCCUAGUGAAUGCCUUAUAAAUUUAACUUUUAUAUUCAAUGCAAACGUGUUCACAAUAGUUUUUUGUAAUAUUUUUGAUUUUUCUGACAUAAUUAUAGCUUGUUAGAAAUUAACUCUUACAAGACGAUCGAGUGUAGUUUAGUGAAUUGAUGUGCUUUAGUAAGAGUAAAUGGUUUAAGGAUAUUUUGGCUUUCUUAUCAACGUCAAAAUUGAAAAAAAAAAUUGAUAAGAAUCUUAUCUUGAUAAUUAUAGGCCAAGAACGAGCUCGUGUGAUUGGGGUUAUUGUUGAUUGCUUCGUAUUGAGUUAAGUGAACUCAUGCAUAAUGUUUAUUAUAGUUAUAUAUGUAAAUAUCUAGAAAAGAAUAAUGUUAUUCAUAUAAAUUGACAUUUUAUGGUUUUGAAGUUAUUUUACUCUUAUAUUUUAUGAUAAUAAAUAAUGUUUUGAUUAAAACUUUAUUUAAAAUAUUUUCUUAAACUAUUUAAAAAAUAACUUUAAAAUAAUUGUCUUUCCAUAAAUUGGUCUUCCUUAAAAAUAUUUGUUAAGCUUGCCAAUUCAAUGUCUUAUAAGAGCAUUUUAUCAUAAUAUUACUGAAUGAUUGAUAUUGAAAGACUGAAAUUGUAUUUAAGAUUUUGGCUCAUUAACCGUAGUUAUUGUUGCUGAUAUAACCGAACAUUUAACUAUAUUGUGCGCACCUAUUGAUGAUUAUAGUUGGGUAACGUACCCUAAUUGAACUACUAACCGAGUCAUCGGGGUUAUAGGUGACUUACUAAACUAAUACCGGGUCAUUAGGGUUAUAGGUGACUUAUUGAACCACUGGCCGGGUCACCGGAAGUACAGGCGACACUAUAUGACAUGAGCAAUUGAAUAAAUGAAUGGUUAUAUUGAUAAAUGAUUUCCGAAAUGAUUAUUUAUUAAAAAUGGUUAUUACAUUAUGAUUUAACUAAUUAUAAGUUUUAAUGUACACUUAUGGUACUUUAUAAUGAUUGUUUUGUAUUUUAUCGUUAUUAGUAACCUUAUGCAUGAGUUAGUGUUGAGUGUUAGAAAAUGCAUAUUUAUAAAGGAGAAAAUUGUCAUUUUACAUUUCAUGUCUUACUAACAGCCCUUACUUUUAUGUAUUUAAGCUUCUUGUAAUUUAAUUAUGUGUGUUUUAUUUUAAUUAAGUAUUUUAUGUAUUUUAGGGGCAUCAUGGUCAUUUCACAAUAAACGAGAGAUCAGACGGCAAAAUGGACAUCACUUUUGAACUCAGGACGGUUGAAAAUCUUAGGAGGAGCAUAAAAGGAAAAAUGACACUGUUCACAUGUACGGUACUGUCUAUGUUACUAUUCACGACACUGUUCACAUAGACGGAUCGAUGAUGUGGCAUUGACCGAUGAUGUGGCAUUGACUGAUGAGGUGUCACGAUCCUGUUGGACUAAAAUUCUUAUGCACUGUUGAUUGAUGACGUGGCAGCAUAUCAGUGGACCAAAAAUCUCGCGUACGGUACAUGCAUUAUACAGGAUUAUUUUCAACCAAACUGAGUCACUGUUCAACUCGGGGCAAACCGUGUUACUGUUCAUCCAAGUGGUCAAACCGCAUACUGUUGACUGAUAACGUGGCGCAAUCCUGAGCGUCCAAACUGUUUUUAAUCCGAUGGCCACGAUUUACUUAAUGUAUCUACAAAAAGGGGGCCUCCCCUCUAAUUUGAUACCUCUGAAUCCAUUUUUUGGAUCCAUUUUCUAUAAUUCCUUCUCCAUCUUGUAUUUUCUACGUAUUUUAAUAAAUUUCUAUUUUGCCCCUAGUUCAAUUAUGAGUAACUAAUUUUCUUUCAAGCUUGGGUUGAAGGUGAAGUCUCAACAUGUGUCAUGGGCUUUAUUUGGUAAAUUUAUUUUCUCUUCCCCUCUAGUUUUUGUGGAUGUUUUGACUUCUCGUCGAUAAAUAAUAAUAAUAUUGUUUAGUACCGCCUUGGUUUCACCGGCUCCCUAAUACAAAGUUAUUAUUAUUUGGCACGAUAAGCCCUUAGCACCAUAUUGAUUAGAGCGUAGUUCAUGAGGUGUGAAUUCCCCCCUCAUGAUUUAAUUGGUAUUAAUAAGGAAUAUUUAGCCCAUGGUGCAUUUGAUAUGAAUUCAAAUACCCAAGUACGUCAAUUUAAUAGAUUUUCACUUUAAUUUCUUCUCGCCAUUUCAAUUCCAAUUUUUAGGAUAAUUUAAAUCACUUCCACCACAAAUCCAACCACCUCAUACAAAAUUAAUUCUAUAUAUAAUUAAAAUCCACCUCCUCGUGAGAUCGACACUCGUCACUAUUAGUCUAUUAUACAAUAGAUUCGUAAGCUUGCGAGUUCAAUAAAAUUUGCACAACAAGUUUUUGGCGCCGUUACUGGGGAGGUAAGUUAUUUUAAUUUGUAGAAUUAAUUUUUGUCAAUAAUUUCUUUUAUUUGUUUUCUUUUUUUUUCUUAUUAAAAAAAAGGGAAAAAAGAGAGUGAAUUUGCAUUGAGAGAUUAGUAUUUCUUUUCUUUUUCUCUUCUUUAAAAUUCUGUAAUUUAAUUUUCAAGUUAUUUUUUUCUUCUUUGUAAUUUUUGUUUAUCUUACUAAUUUUUUUAAGUUAAUUUAUUUCACGUAUUUUUUUGUGUGUAUUUUUAUAGUAAGGUUGUAAUAGCGCGAUAAGGUUAGUAUCGUAAUUUCUCCCUCUUCUUUAUUUUUAUUUGUUUUGUUCCCAUCUUUAUUUUUAUUUUAUUUGUUUUACAUGCAUAGUCGAAGAUCAUUAUUACCUAAUCUUAAACCUAUAGACCUGGAACUAGAAAAAAUACUUCGCACACACAAGCACGUUAAAAAUAAAUUUGGAAUGGAUUUACAAGUACCACAAGAGAGGCCAUUUAAGGACUAUUUUAGUCCUUUAGCUAAUUUGAGCACAUCAUGUAUAAGAUACUCAAAUGUAGCUGCUACGAGUUUUGAACUAAGACCUAGUCUGCUAAAUUGUCUCCCAACAUUCUAUGGCCUAGAAAAUGAGGACCUUUAUAAUUAUUUGAAUGAUUUUCAUACUAUUUGUCAAACAUUUAAAUAUGAGAAUUUUUCAUAUGAUGAUGUAAAACUUAGACUAAUCCCAUUUUCUUUAAAGGAUAGAGCUCGUUCAUGGUUUAAUAUAUUGCCUGCUAAUACCAUUUCAUCAUGGGAACAAAUGGUAACGAAAUUUUUAAAUAAAUAUUUCCCAGUGCAUAAAACUAAUGCUAUUCGCAGGGAAAUUUCAAAGUUUACCCAUAGAGAAGAUGAGCAGUUUUUCGAAACAUGGCAGUAAUUUAAUGGGCUACUCUUGAAGUGUCCACAUCAUGGGUACGAGAAAUGACACCAAUGCCAAUACUUUUUGGAGGGAUUGUUGCUGAAUGUGUAAGAAUGACUAAUGGCAACAAGUGGAGGAGAGCUAAUGUCAAAAAGUGCAUCAGAGAUUUGGGAAUUCUUCUAGCGACAAGUGGAUAAUUCCCAACAACGGAGUCGAUCACUCAGGAAUACUAGAAGAAUUAAGGGAGUGAAUGAGGUUCACAUUGACGAGUCAACUUCAGGAAUCAAAGAAGUCAAGGAGAUGGUUGAAGGUAUCGCUCGACAAAUAGCAUCAUUAUCGACUGCUAAAUCAACAGAGCCACAUGACCAUGACUCAUACUCAGAUCAAGCCAAUACCAUAGGUGUAAUGAGAAGCCAUCAAAUUACAACCCAUACUCCAACACAUAUAACCCAGGAUGGAGAGACCACCCCAAUUUUUUAUGGUCUCAAGGAUUCCAACAGAAUGAAGCAGCAGCUCCAGCUCCACCAAUGCAACGAAUUCCUCAAGUUCCUCAAGCCUCUCAGCCACCAUUUAGACCAUACAAUCAGAACCAGAACUACUCUCAACCCAGACCAUGGGAGGAUGCAUUCCAGAAUUUCAAGAAUGUUACUCACUCUACGAUUGAGCAACAGAACCGCACCAUUGAUAGACUACGAAAUGAGUUGAGAGCAGGUUUCAACUCACAAGCCCAAUCAGUUUCAAGCCUUGAGAAGAUGGUGGGACAACUUGUUUCUUCAGUUCAGACCUUGGCAAUGACCGUUGAGAAAGGUAAAUUUCCAAGUCAACCAGUGCCUAAUCCUAAAGGAGUACAUGAUGCAAGUACUAGUUCACCACAGCAGCAUGGAGAGGUAAAAGUUGUCAUGACUUUGUGAAAAGAAAAAGAAGUCGACAACAAAGUGGAGAUGUAGGUGAUAAAAGAAAAUCAAAUUGUACCUGUAAAUGUUGAGGACUCAUCACCGGAGGAGAAAGAAGAAACGAACCUACGAGAAUAUGUUCCUAAAUCUCCAUUUCCUCAGAGGUUAGUAAAAGGAAAAAAGGAAAAAUUCACAGGUGAGAUUCUUGAAAUCUUCAAACAGGUAAGUGUUAACAUCCCUUUGUUUGACGCUAUAAAACAAGUUCCAUCUUAUGCUAAGUUUCUUAAAGACCUUUGUAUUAAAAAGAGAAACAUUCAUGUUCAAAAGAAGGCAUUUUUGACAGAAAACGUUAGUUCUAUACUCCAACAUAAAAUUCCUCUAAAAUGCAAAGACCCAGGCUCCCCCACUAUCUCAUGUAGUAUAGGGAACCACACAAUUGAAAAUGCUUUGUUGGAUUUAGGAGCUAAUGUAAAUCUGUUGCCUUAUUCAGUUUUCGUGAAACUUGGAUUGAGAGAAUUACACCCAACUCCAGUGGGGUUGCAGCUUGCAGAUCGGUCCACGAAAAUACCUCGUGGCAUUAUGGAAGACGUGCUUAUCCAGGUAGACAAGUUUUAUUUUUCUGUUGAUUUCAUUGUAAUUGACACUCAACCAAUUCAGGAUUCAAGGAAGCACAUCCUCAUUAUUCUAGGCCGACCUUUCUUGGCAACUGCAAAUGCUCACAUUCAAUGCAGGACUAGAAAUAUGCAGUUGUCCUUCGGCAACAUGACUAUGGAGCUGAACAUCUUCAACAUUGCCAAAUAACCUCACAAUGCAGAUGAUAAAAUUGUUGAUGCGGAUUUAAUAGAAACAUUAGUUGAUAAUACCUUUGUUUCAAACCUUAGUGAUGACCCUUUACAAACAUGUUUAACUCAUUUUGGUUUGGAUUUUGAUAUUGACAGAUCAGUCGAUGAGGUCAACGAAUCACCGUUUAAUUCCAGAAACGAGAUUAUGUGUCUGUCCGUUUACCCUUUCACCGUUUGCCACAAUCGGUGAACCGUUUUUCAACAGAGAGUCCUCUAACAGUUACUCCUUAGCCGUUAAGCGCUUAGGCUUUCACCGUUUCCCUUUCUUCAGCCUCUGGAAGUUACCCUUUAACCGUUUUCGCGAAGUCUAAAAUCUGUUCAAAGGUUUUCUUCUCCUUCUCCAGUUACCCUUUCACCGUUUCCUCCAUUGUUGCGCAGCCGAAGGUUUCUUUGUCCUCAAAUCCUCAUUUUUUCUUGCUUUCCUUGCCAAAUCAAACCUUCAAAAUUAUUUCUUAUCACCUUUAGAACAAUUCUACCGAUUCAAAACUUCAAAUCGAGCCCAAAAUUAAAAAAUCCCAAAUCUAAACCCUAACUGUCGCGGGUCGGGUUUCUUCAUUCUUAAUCCGAUUUCCACAUUUCUUCAACCAAAUUGAACAUCCUACUCACAUCCUCUACUCUUCUUUAAACCUUUUAUCGAUUUACUUUCGUCCCAUUACGUGUUUCCAUGGCUGAACCCUCUCGGAGAAAUCCCAGGCGUAAAUCUGUGCCCCCAAUGAAUCCCAUACCACCUCGGGAGGUCUCUGAGUUUUCAAGGAUUCACUUCCCCACACCUGCCUUGGCUAAGCGGUUCGAAGAUCGCUUUGAUGGUCGAAAGGUACUUGAUCCUUUUUUUGUUGAUAUUGAUAAUUUCCGCAACUUAGUUGUAUGUGGUAGAAGCAUUAGGGAUAUGCUUCAGCCUUGGGAGGCUGCCAUUGAUUUUGAUGACCGAGUUUAUCCAAACUUAGUGCGAGUCUUUUAUUCGAACAUGGAAAUCUCCGACACUCGCCUAAAUAGGAUAGUUACUCAUGUCGGCCGUGUGCCAAUAGAGUUUGAUGAUGCGGACCUAGCUGACCUUCUUGGUAUCUCUUGUGAGGGGCUUGAUAUUUACACCUCUAGGAAAGCCCUCUCCUUUGAUAGUUUUUCUCAUACUCAUGGCGUCCGUAAUAUAUGUCGUCGUCAAGACUUAUCGGAUGAGAUUUGUUUGCUUCCGUUUCGGUCUCAACUUUUACCUCUCCAAGUUCGUAUUCUUCACACUAUUUUACAGCACAUAGUGACUCCUAGGAAGGGUCACUCGGAUGAGGUUACGAGGUUGGACGUUCCCUAUUAGAUAGCCUUCUUACAGACCGUCCCAUUAACCUCGGGUAUAUUAUUGUGCGACAUAUGUUGAGUACUCCAGCGAUCAACCAUCGCUUGCUUCCUUAUGGCAGUAUCAUCACUAAAAUACUGCGACGCUUUGAGGUGCCACUUCUUGAUAUUGGACAUAUGGAGACUCGACGGAUUGGUUCCGAGGCCAUGACCAGUAUCGGAUUCUCUAGAAAGAAUGGAGUGUGGAUAAAGACAAGCAACUCCAAAAACCGGGAUACCUUGAUUGCUCCAGAGGACGAUCGGAUGCUCAAUGAUGUCUAUUCUCCCGAUCAGCUUCUUGACUUUAGAUUAGGAGCUCAUCCUCAUCCUCCGCGUCGCCAUUUUUUCCCUCGGCCUCCAGCUGACUCAGACUUUGAGGAGCGUGCGAUGGAUGCUGAUAUUCCCUCCUCUUCCGAGCCGCCUCCUGCUCCUGAGCCUUAUGCUGUUCCCGAGCAGCCAUCUGCCUCUAUGCCGCCUCCAGCUCCAGUUCAGCCCCUUGCUUCAGAUGCAGUGCAGCAGCUGAUUACUGAUGUUCAGCGGAUUUCGGAGCGACAGCAGCUGAUUCUUGAUCGGUUGGACAUCAUUUCCCGUGAUCACCAGCAGCUCCGCUCUGACUUUCAGAUUUUCCAGCAGCAGAGCAUUGACCAGUAGCUCAAGCUUAUCGCCGGACAGCGCACUCUUCUCAGCUAUUUCGGCUAUGAUCCGGGGAGCACAUCUUCUCCGCCUCCAUAGUUUCUGAGUUCUGUUUUCGCACAUACAUUUUUCCAUUUUGGUUGUUAGCUUUUUCAUACUUCGUAUAUGGAUUUUGAUGCAUAUGUGUGUGAUGUUCUUGAUGAUUAGAUGAUUGAUGCUUUGUGAUUGAAUAAUUGUUGGUAUGUUUGUGGAUAUUGAAGUGUUCUUUUGUUUUGAUCAUGGAGUUGUUGGCUUGUUGAAAGAAGAAGUUGGUGUCAAUCUAUUUUUUGAAGUGUUCUAUCUCAUUUUGUAUAAGUGGUUUUGAUCAUUUUUAAGGGGAAACUCUGCCAAAAUUUUCGCUCGCCAAAGCCGGGCAACUUCUUUAAUGGAUUUGUGUAUUUCUUAUUUCUUCUUUUCUUUUUGAUGAUGAAGGGGGAGAUAAUUAUGGUUUUUAAGAUGGUUUUUAAAUGGGGAGAUAUUAUUUUAAGAUGGAUUUAAAAUGGGGAGAUUUAAAGAAAAAAUCCUUUUAUUCAUAUUUCUCAAUUUGUCCAUACAUGUAGGGGGAGCACAUAUUAAGGGGGAGCUAAACAUUGAAUGAAAUUUGUCAUCAUAAAAAAUGGGGAGAUUGUUAACAUAAAUAUGUUAAUAAUAUUGAUUUUGAUGAUAACAAAUUUUAUAUGGUUUUUGACAAAAAUAUUGGAGAUAUUUCUUAAUAAACGAAAGCCCUUUUAUUCAUUGCCUUAUUUUUUCAUAAAAGAUGGACUUUCAAAUUAGAAAGAGAUUCUCUACAAAAAAAAAAACUCGUUUAAAAUUGCAAUUCUGGUUAUAAACGGUUAACCAUUUUAAACGAUUAAAGGCAGAGAGCAACAUAUUUCCUAAACCUUUAACCGUUUAUGAAAAACGGAAAACACAAAAGAUGGGAAGGUUACUGGAACUUAACGGUGAACCGUUUAUUUUAAACGGUUAACCGAUUAACACCAGAGAGCGACAUAAUGCCUAAAGCUCUAACCGUUUAUGAAAAAUGGAAAUCACCAAGAAUGGAAAGGCUACUGGAACUUAACGGUGAACCGUUUAUUUUAAACGGGUAACCGAUAAUGUCCAGAAUUGAAGGUUGUCCUCCUCUGGCACUGAUUAACGAAAAAUGAUAAGGCUAAAUUAUUUUGCAGGUUACUGGAGACAAACGGCGAACUGUUUAUUUCAAACGGUUAACCGAUAAUAUCCAGAAACGUUACUUCACGCAAGUUCUUAACCGUUUAGCGUAAACGGAUAACAAAUGCUCAUCUUGCAGGUCUCUGGUAGUUAACGGCUAAAGGUUAAUUACAAACGGCAAACCGUUUAUUUGAAAUCUAGCCCAACGGUAACUUUGACCAACCGAAACGGUUAACCGUUUAGGGUUAACGGCGAACCAUUUUCUGUCCGACAGUUUGUAACGGCUAGAUUUUCAGCUCCAGAUAUAAAUAAGCUCAUUCAAAUUCAAAGAAGGUUGAUCACAACACGACCAUUUUGAGCUAAUAUUCGAGAAUGCAAUCUUCAUAGAGCUUAGAACACAUUAUUGCUUCAUCUAUUCACAUAUUAAGCAUCAUUGUGUAAUCUUAUAUAUUGUGAGAGGUAAAACAGUUUGUAAUCUUUUACUUUGAGUGAUUGUAAGUGUUGGGAUACACUUGGGUUAAGAGAUUGGGGAUAAUCUCUUGUUGUAAAGGUCCAUUGACACCUUGGAAGUCAAGUGUAAGCAUUUGAAGCCUUGGAGGCUUGCUUAGUGGAAUCCUCAAGCCCGGAAAGCUUGGAGGCGUGGACGUAGGCGAGGUUGGCCGAACCACGUAAAAAUCUCGGUGUUUGAAUCCCUCUUCCCUUAUCUUUUUAUAUUGUGAUCAUCUUAAUUGUUAUUGCUUUGAAUUUGAUUUAUAAUUGCAUUAAGAUUUUCUUUAAUAAAUUGAAUAAUUUUUUAGAAUCCCAAUUCACCCCCCCUCUUGGGUUGCAUACUUGUAUUUCAUAUUUUCCACAUAUACCGGUAUAGUCUCUGACUUUUCUUUUACACUGCUAUCAUCUUCAUCUCUCGUUUGCAGUUGAUCUUCUAUAAAGAUAACAUCUCUGCUGAUGAUGAUCUUGUGGGCAGUGGGGUCCCACAGACGAUACCCUUUUACUCCAUCAGCAUAUCCCAAGAAGAUACAUCUUCUAGAUUUUGGAUCCAGUUUUGUUCUUUCUUGGGCAUUGUACAUCACGUACACAGGACAUCCAAAUGCAUGUAGGUAGGAAUAAUCAGCUGGCUUUCCAGUCCACAUCUCCAUCGCUGUCUUCAGCCCAAUAGCUGUAGAUGGCGACCGAUUUACUAUAUAACAAACAGUUUUGGCUGCUUCUGCCCAAAAUGAAUUGGGUAGACCAGCAGUCCUCAACAUAGCUCUUAUUCUUUCUGUAAGAGUUCUGUUCAUCCGCUCCGCCACUCCGUUUUGUUGAGGAGUGUAUGCUACAGUGAACUGUCUCUGAAUACAUUCUUGCUUACAGAAAGCAAGAAACUCGCCGUCUGUAUACUCUCCACCAUUAUCCGUCCUCAAUUACUUGAUCUUUUUACCAGAUUCAAGUUCCACCCGCGCUUUGUAUUCUUUAAACACUGGAAAUACAUUUGACUUUUUUUUAAUUGGAUACACCCAACAUCUUCUGGAAUAAUCAUCAAUGAAAGUCACCAUGUACUUUGCACCUCCCAUGGAUAUAUCCGGUGAUUCCCAAACAUCAGAAUGAAUCAAGUUUAGAAUGCAUUUACUUCUAGCAAUAGAUCUACUAAAUUUUAAUUUAUGCUGCUUACUUGUAACACAAUGCUCGCAAAAUGGUAAACUUACCGAUUUGAGCCCCGGAAGCAAUUUUCGCUCAGAGAGAAUCUUCAAGCCUUGUUCUGACAUGUGGCCAAGUUUGAGAUGCCACAUCAUCGUUGACUCUUCUCCAUUUGAUGCGACACACGCAUCAGCCUCCUGUAGUGUUUCUCCUUUAAGCAUGAAUAGAUUAGCACUGAUCUUUUCUGCAUUCAUCAAUACAAGCGCGCCUUUAACGAUCUUCAUAAUUCCAUUCUCCACAUGAGUUUUGUACCCAUGACUAUCCAUUUGUCCCAAAGACAAAAGAUUUUUCUUCAGGCCGUUGACAUGGCGUACCUCCCCAAUUGUGCGAAUUGUACCAUCAAACAUUUUUAUUUUGAUAGUACCAAUACCAGCGAUCUCCAAGGCAUGAUCAUUACCUAUAUAUACAGAUCCUCCUGAGAUAGGUUCAUAUGUGUGGAACCAUUCUCUCCGAGAGGUCAUGUGCCAGGUAGCUCCUGAGUCUAUAAGCCAGACAUCAGAUAGUCGUUUUCUGCCUUUUGAAACAAUUGUUGCCUCGCUGUAAAGAAUUUCGCCAUCAUCCGAGGUACUUGCUAUACACCCUUGAGCAUUUGAUGACUCAGGUUUUUUGCCCUCUUUUCUCUUCUGGUUACUCCAACACUCUUUCUUGACGUGCCCUUUCUUGCCACAGUUGUAGCAUUUAACAUUCUUCUUACUUCUGGAUUUUGAUCUACCAUGAUUUUGACUCCCACUAGGGCCACGUUCCGUUGAUCUCCCUCUCGUCACCGAUAGCGCCUCCGUUUGCUGUGAACUUACUUGUCUGUUUUCCUUAUUUUUUCGCCUGCUCUCCUCAUUUAAUACGGAGGCUGCAACAUCGUCAAAAACUAGACUGUCCACUGGAUUAUUGUUCGUCAGGUUGAUGAUGAGUUGAUCAUACGAAUCUGGUAGACUUUGAAGUAGAAGCUCUGCACGUUCAUUUUCCUCUAUAUUAUGACCCAACGUUGUGAGUUGUGAAAAUAGAGUCUUCAAGGUGUUGAUGUGGUCGGUCACCAUUGUAGAUUCCGCCAUUCGAAGAGUAUAAAGUUUCCUCUUCAAGAAAAUUUUGUUGUGUAGUGACUUGGCCUCGUACAAUUUUGUGAGAGUAUCCCAAAUUUCCUUCGUUGUGUUUUUCUCUGCCACACUGGAUAAUACUCCGUCUGCAAGUGCCAAGUGUAGAUCAGAAAUGGCGUUGCCGUCUACCUCGUUCCACUUGUCAUCAGUUAUCUCCAUGGGCCUUUCUCCAAUUGCUGCCAAGCAAUUAUUUUUCCUCAAUACAGCUUUCAUCUUCAUUUUCAACAAUGAAAAAUUAUUUCCGUUAAACUUCUCAAUUUCAUACUUUGCCACCAUUUUGUUGAUAAAUACCGCACACAAGCUAGUGUACCACCUUGAAUAGUUGUGAGUAUGUGUGAGAAUGCACACCAGGAAAGUUCCCAGGAAAGACUGGAGGGGUCACAAUGGUCCCACUUAAAACCCAGACUCAUUAAGCUCUUAUCGCCUUUGUGAUAGAACUUUCCUAGACAUGUACAAAACCACACAGUUGCUAUUACUCACACCACUAUUCUCUGCUUUGCAUCACAAAAUUCUUGGAUCGCUUCCACCGUUUCUUGUGAAUAGUACCGUAUACGUGAACAUUACCGUUUACGUGAAUAGUACCCCUUACGUGAACAGUACCCGACUCCAAAAAUACAACCAAUAGCUCUGAUACCACUGUUAGGAAAUUGGUAGGUGAAGCAGACACGCAGCUAGAAUAAAAUUGAAAGAAAAAUAAAGAACAAGUACAAAAAAUGGACACCAGAAAUUACGUGGUUCGACUUUUAGCCUACAUCCACGGGCGAAGACAGAAGGAAAUAUUUUACUAGUGAAAAGGAGUUACAAGUAUUGUAGUAUUUUAGCUCACUUCCCAAAAUCCCAAUACACCCAAACUCUCAGAACACUAAUCACUCAAGAGUUUAUUAAACUCUUAAUACUCUCAACACUAAAAGAAAGCAAUAUUUCUCUCUCGAUGGAAUUGGAUACAAGCUCUAGAUUGAGAGCUUGUAUUUAUAGGCAAAAAUUUGCCUCAAAUGUCAAACAAGUGGCCAUAAACUUCAAGCCAUACAUCUUAAAAAUUUCAAACUUUGAAUUUUUAGCUUUGAAUUUUUCUUUUCUUUUACCAAACAUUACGGCAUCUAGAAUUUCAAAGCCAAGUGCCAACCAUUCUUGUUUAUUCAAAGCUUCUAGAUGCAGCCAAUUUUGACAAUUACACAUAUAUAAGAGUAUGUCGUCAGGUCCAUACUAGUAUUUUUACACAAGCGGUCACCUCAAUUGCUUUAGGAGCAAGAUGAGAUGAGACAAGUAGAAUAAUAAAACAAUAUUUUUGUGUGAGAGCCAAAUAAAAAGCGUUAUUCUACAAGUUUUUUUGCCUUGACUAGAAUCAAGAGGUCUCACACGAUUUUCAUUAUAGACUGACUAUGAUAUACCCCACCAUCAUGGAGACUUCAUUGAAGCCAGAUGUGAGAUCUUUACUUUUUACGCUAGAAGAGAGCGUUCAUUCUAAAAGAGUGACUAGACUAAGAUCUAUAGUCCUGGAAUGGAAAAUUUAUCGUAACGAGUGUAUCAUACCAUGCGUGCUUGGUAAUCAAAAUGGAAAAUGAAAGAAUCUUCAAUCUUUCUAAUUGUGUAAGUUCCAUAUAACUUUUUAUAAGUCAAUCCUGGUAUCAUCUUCUUCUCUUCUUCGUGAAGAUUAAAAUUAAGAACAUUGAACAAUCCAUAAAAAGGGCAUUUAUACUGUGAUUAGAUAAGGAUUUCCGCUUGCGAUUUCUUCUGACCAUUAACAUGAUCCAGUACUCGAUUACUCCGCUGCUGAAUUCAAUAAGAAAAAUAUUUCUAGAAUUUUCAUUUUUCCUUCAGACCAUGUAAGAAGCAUACGAACAGGAUGAUCCGGAGUCAAAAGGUGAACGAGGUGACGGCUCGUCCGUUAGUACUAUUAAUGUAUAAGGUAAUAUGGGAAUUACUAAUAAUUAAUCGACUAGCUGAUUUGUUAGUUAUGAUUAUCAAUGACGGUCUAUUUCCUGCCCAUAUUUUACCAUGCUGUUGAAUGGUCCCCUUAAAAUAAUCCAGAUCAGUCAUUUGCAUAAAAAUAUAUCAUGAGCGGUUAGGUGGAGGAUGCUGAUUUGUUAGAAAAUAAUUGUUUUCAACUCUUGCGAUUGUCUGCACCCUGCACUCUUGUUCCAAAACCAAUACAAAACUGUAGCAAUCUUAAGAGGAUUUGUGGAACAAAAGAUGGCCAAGAUUGGAGGUUCUCUGCUUGUUCCUUGUGUUCAAGAGUUGGUCAAGAAUCCUAUGUUAGUUGUCCCUCCUAGAUACAUUUGUCCGGACGAAGAUUCACCACUCAAUUCUGAUGAUACUUUGAUUUCACAGAUACCAGUUAUUGACAUGCAGAGCUUGCUUUCUGAAGAAUCAAUGGAUUCUGAGUUAGCCAAGCUCGACUUCGCUUGCAAAGAAUGGGGUUUUUUCCAGGUAAAAUGCUUUAGCAGAGUUAGAAAGAUUUUUCAUGCUUGUCUGUGAUUUAAGAAUCAUGAAAUCUGCAAAACUCUCAGUCACAAAAUAUCUAUUUUUGAAACCCAGUUUCCAUUGAUUUAGCAUGUCAUGAUUUCAAAUUUUCCCAUCUAGUCCUUUUGCUGCUUUCAGUGCUUCUACGACUGCAGCUUGUGAAAUGUCAAGGAAGUUGUCUCUUGUUUUAUUGUACAAUUUAUGAGGCGAUAUGAGAAGAAAACACUCACCAUUUAUUUCUGAAACCCAGAUUCCAUUGAUAUAUUUGUUUUUGACUUGCUUUAUUACUUUACCUUUCCAUAUAGCCAUAGAUUUGUUAGUAUAAUUUGUAUUAAAAGAUGCCCAUGACAAAGUUCACCUAUUUUGUCUCAAUAGCUUUUGGUAGCUUAUGAGAAAUAUGCUUCUGUCAAUAUGUGAUUAAAGAUAUAGUAAAUUGUAUAAGACUCCCGCAGAUUAUUAGCUGUUCUAGAAUAUUCAAAUUUCUCCAAAACUAUGAGUAAAAAACACUUGUAAAAAUCAAUCAUUGAUUAGAUUUAUAAACAAAAUAAAAUUGGUGUUUAAUGCAACAGCAAUGUUCUCAGUUGAAAUGUAACAAAUGCUUUUAGCCAUCUUUGAUAGCAAAUCUUGUCUCUAAAUUAGUCAAAUAAGUUGCAAUCUGUCUUCAUAAAACGCCUGGACGAUUGUGAACCUAGUGGCACGAUUAUCAAAUCUUAGCUGCUGUUCAUUCCUGCGUAAUUUCAGCUGGUAAACCAUGGAGUAAGCUCAGCAUUUCUAGAGAAAGUGAAGAAAGAGGUUAAGGGCUUCUUCAAUCUCAGCAUGGAAGAAAAGAAAAAAUAUUGGCAGCAUCCAGGAGAUGUAGAAGGAUUUGGACAAGCCUUUGUUGUAUCUGAGGAACAAAAGCUUGAUUGGGCUGACAUUUUCUCCAUGAUCACUCUUCCAGUUCAUCUGAGGAAGCCACACUUAUUUCCUAAGCUCCCUCCUUCCCUCAGGUUCUCUCUUUUUGUGGUUGAUAUGGAUUUGCAAACAAAAAGGGAAAAUUAAACCUUCUAUGAUUCUAUCUAAUGUUUUACCUUCUUUUUUCUUGUAGAGACACCUUGGAAGUUUACUCGAUGGAGUUAAAAUCUCUGGCCAUGAACCUGAUAUCGAAAAUGGGAAAAGUUUUAAAUAUCAAAGAUGAAGAAUUGAGAGAAUUCUUUGACAAUGGUUUCCAAUCAAUGAGGAUGAACUAUUACCCUCCAUGUCCUCAGCCAGAAAAGGUUAUGGGCCUCACCCCUCAUUCUGAUGGCUCUGCUCUUACCAUUCUGCUACAAAUCAAUGAAGUAGAAGGUCUCCAGAUCAAGAACGAUGGAAAAUGGAUUCCUAUCACACCGCUGCCAAAUGCUUUCAUUGUCAACAUCGGAGACACAUUGGAGGUAAUAAUUAUGAUUACUUUCCUUGGCAUUUUUAUGUCCCUUCUCAUGUGCUCUAAUAUUUUUAACAUUGCAGAUUAUGACCAAUGGGACAUACCGUAGCAUUGAACAUCGUGCAAUUGUGAACUCUAUACAAGAAAGACUUUCCAUUGCCACAUUUUACACAAAGAGAUUAGAUGGUGAAAUAUAUCCAGCAUCCAGUUUGAUAUCUGAAAAAACUCCUGCAUUGUUUCGAAGAGUGACAGUUGAAGAAUACUUUAGGAGCCGGUUUGCUCGUGAGCUUAGGGGAAAAUCUCACCUGGAUGACCUGAGAAUUCAACAUGGUCGAGGCUAGUACAAUUAUUUUGGAUAAUUGCAGAUUUGUGCCAGGAAUUUUCUGAUGAUAAUUGUGCUUAUUUUGGAUCAGUUUCUUUCAUUUUUGGAAUAGAAUUUUUGCAGGCUUGUCAUGUUUUUAUCAGAUUUCAAGAACUAUUUCACUUGCUUUCGGAGUUAAAGAUGAUUCAAAUAUGAUAUUAAAUACUUAAGCAUGCCAUUCUAACGCUUGCUUGUCCAAUUACAUCCUUAUCAACAAUAUAUUUUGUUACAAUGUCACUGAAGUUGAAUAGAUAACAACAUGCUUGGGUUAUAUGUUGUCAUUUGGCUUAACCAUCCGUCACAUUAAGCAGAUUGUUGUGAUAAUGUGUUUUACAACCUUCCCCAGUAGCAUGAAUGUUGUUAAAAUAAUUGUAACAAAUUUUAUAUUGCUUGUAGCAACAUUGUUCUCCAUAGCACACAUUGCGUGAGUACAUAAGUUGUAACUUGUUACCAAUAAUAAUAAUAAAAAAUAAUAAUAAUAGUAAUAAUAAUUAUCAAUAACUAAAAAUGAGACGGAUGUUACUUUCAUAAGUGGAACUUGGAUUCACAAGCUAAAUAUGAGGUUUUAAUUGGUUGUUAUCAGAAAAAAAUAUAAAGAUAAUUAAUGCCUAAACAUAAACAGCUAUAAUUGUAUAAAUGACUAAUCGAUUACAAUUCGAAUCCACUAUUUUCUUAAUAGUGCGCAGUCAAUUCCAACACAGCACCAGAUUGCAGCGUGUUAGAAAAAAUUUUAGGUAAUCAUAUAUAUGUUUUAAUCAAUAAUGAUAAUAUGUUUACCCAUAUAUAAGAUUUGAAUAGAUAAAAAGUAAUACUCGAGAACCACCAAAGUCCUUUUAACUGCAGACACGCAAUGGUGGAUUACUCGCACAAGUCAAGAGCAAAAUACCAAGUUGUGAAAGAAAAAUAAAAAGGGGAAAACAAAACAAAACGCAGUAUUGAAAAUACCUUCGCCUUUUGGGUUGAUGACAAGGUGGGAACCACAAAUAAUUAAUUGGCUGAUGGUUUGUCAUCGUUAUCCAUAGAGGAUAGUUUUGACCUGCGAAUAUUUUAUUUUGCAUUCGAAACAUGUGCAAAAAAUUAAAAUUACUUCAUGAAUGGUUAGGUGGAGGAUGCUGAUUAAUUACUUGGAAAAAGAUUCCUUUUUACUUUUGUGAUUGUCAGCACUCAGUCUUGUUCCAAAACCAAUACAAAGCUGCAGCAAUCUUGAAAGGAUUUGAGGAACAAAAGAUGGCCCAGAUUGGAAGUUCUCUCCUUGUGCCUUGUGUUCAAGAGUUGGUCAAGAAUCCGGCGUUAGUUGUCCCCGACAGAUACAUACGUCCAGAUCAAGAUUCACCCCUCAUUUCUGAUGAUAUUUUGAUUUCACAGAUACCAGUUAUUGACAUGCAAAGCUUACUUUCUAAAGAAUCAAUGGAUUCUGAGUUAGCCAAGCUCGACUUCGCAUGCAAAGAAUGGGGUUUUUUCCAGGUAUAAUGCUUUAGCAAAGUUAGAAAAUUGUUUCGCCAGAACAUGCUUGUUUGUGAUCAAGAAUCGAGAAAUAUGCAAAUUGUCAAUCAAAUAGGCAAAAUUAAAAUUCAUAUUUAUUUCUUAAACCCACGUAUCAUUGAUGUUAGCAGAUCAUGGUUUCACUUUCCAGUGUUGUCUGUGGCUUAGGACUGCAGCUUGUGAAAAGAAGAACUUGUCUCUGGUUUAUUUAUUAUUGACUUUCUAUAUUGCUUUACCUUUUCUCCCUCCAGGCAUGGUUUAAUUAGCUAUUUCAUUCCUAAAUGUCAAACAGGCAAUAUGUAUUAAAAAGAUUGUCUUGAGAAAUUUCACCUCCUCUGCCUCAAUAGCUUUUGGUACCUUAUGAGAAAUAUGCUUCUGUCAAAAUUUUAAAAGAUAUACUAUAGUAAAUUGUGUAAGACCUCUUAGAAAAUGUACUCAUUUCUGUAGUCAAUGUUGCAAAUUUACUUUAAUUUAAAGACAAUUAGAAGUAACAUUGAGAUUAUUUGCUGUUGUAUGAUUUUUCAAAUUCUAGGUGUGAACAAACCACAAGAACUUUAUGCUCAUUAUAGUUAUUCUAGAAUAACCGAAAUUUCUCCGAUAGAAUGAGUAGAAAACACCUGUGGAAACUAAUUGUUGAGAAGAUUUAAAUGUAACAAAUGCUUUUAGCCAUCUUUAAUGGUAAAUCUUAUCUCUAAAUCAGUCAGAUAAGUUGCAAUCUGUCUUAAUAAAACACCUGGACUAUUGUGCGCUUAGUGGCACGAUUAUUAAAUCUUUGCUGCAUUUCGUUCCUGUAUUUUUUUCAGCUGGUAAAUCAUGGAAUGAGCACAGCAUUUCUAGAGAAAUUAAAGAAAGAGGUUGAGGGAUUCUUCAAUCUCAGCAUGGAAGAAAAGAAAAAAUAUUGGCAGCGUCCAGGAGAUAUGGAAGGAUUUGGACAAGCCUUUGUUGUAUCGGAGGAACAAAAGCUUGAUUGGGCUGACCUUUUCUCCAUGAUGACUCUUCCAGUUCAUCUGAGGAAACCACAUUUAUUUCCUAAGCUCCCUCCUUCCCUCAGGUUCUCUCUCUCUCUCUCUCUGUGUCAAUGUCAUUUUGAUUUGCAAACAAAUAAAGGAUAGUGCAUCUUCUUUUCCUGUAGAGAGACCUUGGAAGUUUACUCAAUGGAAUUAAAAACCCUAGCCGAGAACCUAAUAUCGAAAAUGGGAGAAGUGUUAAAUAUCAAAGAUGAAGAAAUGAUAGAAUUCUUUGAAAAUGGACUGCAAGGAAUGAGGAUGAAUUAUUACCCUCCAUGUCCUCAGCCCGAGAAGGUUAUGGGCCUGUCGCCGCAUUCUGAUGCAGCUGCACUUACCAUUCUGCUACAACUUAAUGAAGUGGAGGGUCUCCAGGUAAAGAAGGAUGGAAAGUGGAUUCCUGUUACCCCACUCCCGGAUGCUUUCAUUGUCAACAUUGGAGACACAUUGGAGGUAAUAAUUAUAAUAAAUUACCUUAACCUGGCAUUUUUAUGCGCUUGCUUAUGUGCUUUAAUAAUUUUUACAUGGCAGAUUAUAACCAAUGGGACAUACCGCAGCAUUGAGCAUCGUGCAGUUGUAAACUCUGUACAGGAAAGACUUUCCGUUGCCACAGUUUACUCAGUGAGAUAUGAUGGUGAAGUGUAUCCUGCCUCCAGUUUGAUCUCUGAAAAAACUCCUCCUUUGUUUAGAAGAGUGAGAAUUGAAGAAUACUUUAGGAGCCGGUAUGCUCGUGAGCUUAGGGGAAAAUCUCAGUUGGAUUCCCUGAGAAUUCAACAUGGUCAAGGCUAGUAUAAGUUUAUUUUGGAUAACUAAAGAGUUUGGUACAAAAACUCUUAAGGACCUUGCUAUUAAGAUUGGCGUGGAACUGAAAAUAAGAAAUAAGUUCUAUGAAUACUGUGGUAUAACCUGCUAUGCUAGGGUCGUUGUGUAGCUCUAUCAUUUGAGAUACUGAAUAGACCAUGUAAGAAUCUUAAGAAUUGCAGACUUAUGCCUGGAAUCUUCCGAUGAUAUAUGGUGGUGCUUAUAUCAGAUCAGUAUCUUUCUUUCUUGAAAUAGAAUUUUUGCAUACCUGACUUGUUUUUAAUGAGAUUUCAAGGACUAUAUGACUUGGUUUCAAAUUUUUAUGAUACAUACAGAUAAUAUUACCACAGAACCAGUGUAGUUUCUGUAUCAGCCGUUAUAGUUUUCAGUUAAUAGUAACAAGUUUUUGAUUUUUAAC